AAGUGAAAAUGGUGGAUGCAACUACUUCAGAUGGUGCACUGAUUGAGGAAUUGAAGAAAGUGUUAGCUGUGAGGUGUUGGAAGCAAAUGAUGAAAGGUUGGUGAAGAGUUUUGAAAAUGAAAGGGAUAAGAAGUUAGCUUCUUUGCAGACAGCUGUGAUAGGUGUUCAAAGUUGGAUGAAAAUUUUGGUUGGGGCUGUUAGUGUUGUAUGUGCACUGAACAUCGUUAUCAUUGCAAUGUUGAUGGGUAGGGCUUGAUAAGUUAGUUGUGUUUUGGUUUUAGUUGUAUAAUUUUCAGAUGUUUAAUGAAGAUGUAUUAAGUUUGCCUUGUAUCAGCCCUGUAUCAGUUUGUAUUAUGUUUAAUGAAAUGAUAGUUUGCAGUUUAUCGACCCUAUAUCAGUUUCCAUUAAGUUUGCCCUGUAUCAGUAUGGCUUGAGUUAAAUUUGUUUGGUUUCAUGUGUGGGACCUGAAUAGCAUAACAUGAUUUGGAAACAAUGACUAUAAAUAAAGGCUCCAUCAAUUGGACCUGAAUAAACAUACACAAGGCAGGACCUGAAUAAACAAUUUCAUUCCCCAUUCUUGGGACCUGAAUAAAGAUUUGUAUAUUAAAGCACUGAUAAAAUAAAGCACAUGUCUGUAACCAAAAAGUACCGAUCCAUUGCACAUGUUUGUAACCAUCACAUACUGAAAUAUAAAGUGAUAAACAUUAGUCUAUUACAAACCGAUCCAUUACACCAAAAAGUACUGAUCCAUUAGUCUAUUACAAACUGAAACAUAAAGUGAUAAACAUUGACUACAACUAAAACAUAUAAUAUUCUUCAGCUCUGAACUGGUUGUUCUCCAUGUGGUUGAUCCUCAGCCAAUGAAGUGGGUUGUUGUCAAUCUUGCUGUGCUUGGUUUCUUUGCGGACAAUUUUUCUUGUUGUGACCAGUUUCCCUACACAUGCCACAUCUCUUGAGUAAUCCUCCUUUUGACAUUCUGGUGUUACUUUUCUACAACUCCCAUUGCUCUAACCUCCUUUUCUUCUUUGGACGUCUAGGCAUCUGUCUUUUUGAUGGAGGCAUGACAUCUAGAUAUUCGGUUACCUCCCAGAGAUUGUUUCCAUUAAUGGGAAAAAUAACAGAAGAAUAAAUUUCCUCGUAGGCUGACUUUGUAAAACAUGCAGGUAUGAAUUGUUGUGCAUCUAUGUUGAGUAACUUCAUUACAGCCAAUGCAUGUGCACAAGGUAUUCCCGAGAUGCUCCAUUUCCUACAUGAGCAUGAAUAUUGAUCUAUAUCCACCACAAAGUUGUCUCCAGUUUGGGACACAUGUCGGACUUCAAACAGUUUAUGUGUAGACCAACUGUGAAGAUAAGGAACCAUUAGUUAUAUAACAGCUUGUAUCACAUAACGAAAGAAAAACACUUAAUUCCUAGAUACCUGGGAACCCAAUGCUUUGUUAGUAGUGACUCCUUUUGUAGUCUACUCAGUAUUUUAGGGCAAAUUGAUGACUUAAAUGAGGCUGCCCUUGUCCUAUUAGUCGCCCAUCUCUUCAUCAUGUAUAGCCUGAUUUCCUCCAACAUUGUAAUAAUAGGUUUUGUCCUUGUAUUGACCAAAACACUAUUGAAUGCUUCUGACAUAUUAUUCACCAAAGUAUCAGAUUUAGCUGUGGUUGUGAACCUUGAUCUAGACCAAAACCUACAAUAAUCAUGUAUGAAUUAUUAUUUACUCAAGUUAAGAACCUGUUACAUAAUUUACAUGAAAAACACAAGUUAAAAGGGAAUAAAGGGAACCAUUUACCUUGGAGGAAGAGACAUGAGGUGUCGAAACGCAUCUUCAUUCACCUCUUUGAUACUUCUCAUGAUAUUCUCCCAUUGUUGUGGGUGAGUAGCUAAAGCUGCCCUCCACAUUAGCUUUUUCAGAUUCUUUCUAGGAAAUUUCUUCCUGAAGUUGGCAUAUAAAUGCCUUACACAAAAUCUUUGUGCAAUUGCAGGAACAACAUCUUGUACAGCUUGUCUUAGACCCUGUCAAUCAGUGAAAAAAGAAUUAGAUGGUGAAUUCCAUUUAUAUAACAGAAUUGACAAAAACUGUAUUAAAGGUACCUUCUGUUGAUCUGACAUGAUUGUAAGACCAGAACACACAUCUGGACCACCUAAGUCUUCAAUCAACAACUCCAGAAACCAUGUCCAAGUGUCCUUGUUCACAACUUCUAUUAUUGCAUAUGCUAGUGGCAACAUUUGGUCGUUCGCAUCUCGACCCACAACAGUUAGUAGCUCACCAUGGUGUCUGCCUCUUAAAAAGGCUCCAUCAAGGCCAAUGAUUGGCCUGCAUGAUCCAAAGCUAUCUUUACAUGCCUUUAGGCAUGCAUAAAACCUCCUAAAGAUUGGUUUGCCAUUAACUGGAUCAACUUUGACCUUGAUUGUGGACCCAGGGUUUCUUGCUAAUAACUCGUGUGCAUAAUCAUAAAUUCUAUUAUAUUGCUUAAUGAAGGACCCUACCACUUCAUCUGAUGCAUGGGCUCUGGCCCUGUAAGCCAUAUUCUUGGAUAUUGCUAUGUUCCAUUUCCUACUAAAUUUAUCUCUAAUAUCAACGCCCUUUACAUUAGGAUUCUCUCUUAUUGUUUUUUGCAAUUUUCUACUAAGCCAUCUUGCAUUGAAUAGCCGCAACUUGUGUUCCCUACUGCAUGUAUGGCUGUCAACCAUAGUCCUUGGUUGCCAUGACUUCACUGCAUCCAUGAAAGCAAAAUAUGCCACCCAUGGACAUUCUCCUUUUGAUCCCAAACAUUUAACACUUACUUUUUUUCUAUCAUUUUUAACAAUAUUUAAAUUUUUUCCAUUCUCUACUCCAUAAGAUUUGAUAGCAUCAAGAAUAUCAAUUUUAUCCCCAAAAUAUGUACCCACCUCUCACUUGAAAUCAACCAUUUCUUUUGGCAUACUAAAGGUAGAAAAAUCACCAUACCCCUCUUCAUCUUCACUUUCUUCAUCACUUAUUAGAGGAGAAGUCAAGUCCUCAAAUUCCCAUUCAUCAUUAAACCAACUCGAAUCAUCAAUCUCAUCUUCUUCACUAUCUGACUCAGAUUCAGGUAAAAAAGGUUCUACCUCAACCUCCAUGUCAGUCUCAUUAUCAGGUAAAUCACACUGCACAUUUAUGUUUACUAGCCCAUCAUCAUUAUUCAUCUCACCAUCAUCACCAUCACGGACUUCUACUUCUAUAUCGUCCAAGUCUUCUACAUCUAAGUCUUCUACUUCUAUUCUGUAAGCCUCCCCAUUUAACCUAUCACCCUCUUCGUGCACUUCCUCAACCACAACUUCCUCAACAUGCACUUCAGAUGCUUCCUCAACCACAACCUCCUGAACCAUAACCUCCUCAACCACAACCUCCUCAACCACUACCUCCUCAUCCAAAGCUUCCUCAACCACAACUUCUUCACCAUUACGUUCCUCAACCUCAGGUUCCUUUCCCUGCACGUCUAAGUCUUUUGUCCUCUCAGCAUCACCUCCCUCAACCUCAGCUUCUAUCAUCUCACACUCAUUUACCUCAGGUGCAACUUUUGCACCCUCACCAAACUCAUUAACCUGAGGAACAUCUUCGUCACCUCCUUCAUCAACGUUGUAUUCAAUCAUUUGAAUCACUUCAGCUUCAGACACAUUGUGCACAACAUAUAAAUGAACUUGUCCAUUUAAGGUAGCUAAAUUGACCAUGCGCAUGGCACCUACGUCAUCACACAAUGGUUCUAGCCUAUCAUCCAAAACAGGACCACAUCCAACAGAAAACCACAAUUCCUUAAAACCAUCAUACCCUAAACUUUUUACUACACUCACUACAACAAAAUAUGACCACACGUCAGGAUCAAAAAGCAUGGUAUCAAUGUGUCCUUCAUACUUCGGGCACCCCUCUUUGAUGAACUUACCCCCAUGGUGAAUAACAACCUCCAUAUCGCCCAUCACACACAACAAUAUUCUACACCAACAAAUAAGCCUAAAACGACAAAAUACACCGCUUAUAAAACUGAUAAUGACACAACAAAAGAAAUGUAACUAUGGGAACAUGGGGACAUGGGGGACCACAACGCAUUAUGAAAACAACAUAUCUUCAGACAACUCCAACCCCACAAUGUACAAAGCAUCCCCACAUAACAAGAUAGACAUCACAAUAUUAAAAUCGUACUAACCUUCCACCAAUAUUAAAAUCGUCCCCUCGAACAGCUUCAACCACUUGACGCAAAGUUGUAUCUGACUUUGCGAUUGACUUCGAAACUCCAAUUACAAAGCUUGAAUGCCCUAAUGGACUCUAUAUCCUCUCUCGCGAUUGACUUCCGAUGCACUCUCCUCUGCCAAUUUCGCUCCAAAUUGAAUCCCAAUUUCACUUUAAUUAAACCCUAAAUCCCUAAUCUGAUUUAACAAACAAUUUUAAUUUCUAAUUUUUGUAAAAAGCCAUGUUUCAUCAGAUGAAUGACACGUUUCAUGACCACAAAGGCCACCUGUGCAUAAGUUAACACCUCAUCCACUGUGCUGGCAAAAUACUUGACAAUGUUAACUUUUUUAAACGGAAAGGGUCAAUUUCAUUCAAAUUGACACUUUUGAGGACCAAAUUGGGAGUUUUAAUAAAAGAGGAACGAAAUUGGAAAAGCACCCCAUAAAUAGGGACGAUUUAAAGGUUUAAACCUAAAAUUUACACAUAGUAGUAAAUAUAAAAAGCGAGUAAUAUGGCUUCGUUUAAUGUGCUUCAAAAAUUGCAUAUAUUAAAGUUUUACGACUAAAUUCAAGACAUUACUAUUAAAAUAAAGAACUUCAAGCUCCUCUAAUACUUAAAAUAAAAAACGUAUCUUAAAAUUUAUAAUUAAUCUUGCGAAAUUCAAAUUUUAAUUGAUAAACAUAGAUAAUCUAAAAAUUAAGGUAAAUUAUCAAUAUAUGUGAAAAGAUAAUAAAAAAUAUGAAAAAUAAAAUAUUGUCAUCCUUGUCCAUAAUUUAUAAUAAAUAUUAAAUUCGAAAAUACUUUAAAUAAUACACAUAUUUAUUUAAAUUCAAUAACUAAAUUGAAAAUAACAUAUUUUGACUUCAAACUUUUAUCAUAUAUUAUUCAUAUCUUAUUCACUUAUAAACAAUUUGUCAUGUGAAGUUAAACACUGAGUUUAACCUAAAUCUCAUUACUUUUUAACAUAUAUCAAAUUACAAAAUUGAAUAAUUUUUUCACAUUCAAAUCCUUUUUAUAAUUACACUACGUUUUAUAGAUUACAAUAACCAUAUUAGACACUUUUAAAGAAAAAAUUAGUCAUUUAUAUAUAUAUAUAUAUAUAUAUAUAUAUAUAUAUAUAUAUAACAUGACUGACUCAAAUAAAUACUAAAUGUUUAUGAUUAUCAUUUCUAUAGAACUCGUCUAUUGCAAUGUGUGGCUUCAAAAUAAUAAACAGUGAAAUGGCAUUAAAUCAGGUCAUGUAUGAGCAAUUAAAUAUCCCAUAUGUUGUUGUAUAUUCAGUUUAAAGUUAGUGAUAUGUGUAAAAGUCCAAGUAAAAUAAUUGAAAUGACUUUACCUGUAACCGUCACUAAUAUAAGGAAUUUGCUAAUAAAAAAAAUGGUUUUCUCCAAUAAAUUUUGGGCAUUAGAAAGAAGCUCUCACUGUUUGACAUUAGUAUGGAGAACUGUUCUGAACAUGUUUGAAUUUUGCAUCUGUUGAUGCAGUCAAUCAGUCUUGUAGAGUCAGAUGAAUUGACCCUCAGUUCAACUCCAUAUUUUCCUUUCCUUACCUAUCAUCAUGGAAGAUUCGUUGCAUUAAAAAGUUCUGCUCCGGGUGAUAUGGGUUCUAAUUCCUGAGUUCCAAGGUCAUACGACCCUCUGUUUAUGCUCAUCUCACUUAACUUUUUCACCAACCAUGCACCAAACAUUAUUCUCAUCUGAUAAAAAAUAUUAUUAUAUUUUAAACCUACUAGAAUGAGUACAGAAACCGAAUUCGUCCCAUUUGGAAAUUAUUCUGGUCUUGUUAAUACUUGUCUCGUUCCUUAAACAUUUCAUUGAACUGAACCACAGUGCUAAGUGUGAUCCACAAAUCCAAAUUCAUAUAAAUUAUAUUUAAAACAUUUCCUAGCAACAUAAUACUUUUAGGAGUAGUAUCUUCUACAGUGGCUUCGUGAUCAACUGAAGGUAAGGGAAAAAUAUUAUGGCAAAAAGUUGGAGAAUAGGCAAAUAUUAUGACAAAAAAUUGGAGAAUAGGCAAAUAUUUUGGCAAAAAGUUGGAGAAAAAUAUUUGGGGGGCCAAAUAUGACGAGUACAAAUUAGCUGCUUAGUCUAGCAGAAUCCACGCACAGGUAGCUAGCAUGUGAUUGAAGGGAAGAGUGGACAGCAUGAACAGUUUCUUCAGUAACCCCAAAGAAAUAUAAUUAUAAUCUUACUUUACCACUAUUGAUUACUAGAUUCAUGUUAAAAGGGAAUUUUGGAAGGCAGCCAAAUUGUUCCAUGGCAAUGUUGGGAGGGGAGACAUGAUUAAUUCAUUAUGGCACACACAUCUUCUGAGUAGGCUAAACAAAUUUAAAUGCCGUUGAGCUUAUUGAAGGACCUGGGCCCCCAGGUGGAUUCAUGUCUAGUGGAUUAUUUAUUGGCUACUUUUUUGAAAAUUUUCUACCUAAUCCAGUGGCAACAUAUAAAAGCUAUUGAGAUCUCAAUGGUGGGAGUGGGGCAUGAGUAAGAAAACUCGGGGUGCACCUAACAAGAGGAUGGUAGAAAGGCCUAAUCGAAAAAGAGACUUAUAUAGAAGCAACCAAAAAGAAAAUGGAACAUCUCUUGUAGGGGUUUACAUGGGUUCCAUUCCUACUUUAUAAUAUUUUACUAACUUAUAAACAUGUCAAUAUCAAAUAAUCUCGAUCUACUUUAUGUCCACAUCUUGUCGCAUAUAGAUUUCCAAACAUCUCUUUCCCCAACUCAAACCUCAAAUAAUCUCACCAUACCAUAAUAAUUAUAAGGCUACAUCUAAAAAGACCAUUUAGACCCCAAAGAAAACCGCAAUACUCUUCCGUCACAUGCAAUUUGCACACCAAACCAAAAACUGGAGACGCAGAAGAUGCAAACAAAAACAUGGGCAUCUUUCAAUUGUGGUGUGAUGCGGAAGGCGCCGAGAUGUGUUCACACAGUUACUAUGGGGCCUGAACCAACUAACAGGCUCCCCACACCACGUGGUUUCUGUAACCAAUGCAAAUCCAUGGUGUACGAGAGAUAGUCAGCACUAAGGAUAGCAAUUGGUAUCGCCACAAUAAUGUCACCGGCCUAGCCAUGAUUUUAAGGAUAGUUAAAUAAAAAGAUUAAGAAAAGGUCAGAGUGGAAAAAUAUAUUAAUAAACUCCAGUCACUGCACAGCAACUGUGUAAAUAGUAAAAUGCUGCGAGUACCAGUACAUGGCUUCUUCUUAGUAUAUUGUACAUGAUAGUUUUCUCAGAGCAUCGUCAUCAUCCUCGUCACAAGAACCCUCUUGGUGUUUUACUUCACUUCUAACCAUCCUCAUUCACACUAAGAUGGGAUGAGGCUAUCUUAAUUCUUCCAAGCUAAAACUAAGCUAAACCAUUCCAAAAUGAAGAAACAAAUAAUAAUGAUAAUAGUGGUAGUGAGCUGUACAAUUUCAGGUAAACCAACCUCGAAGGAAAGAGGAAAUUGAAUUUACCUGGAAGAAACAGGGUUUAGGGCUCUGGCGAAGCCAUUCAUGGCGCCAUAACCCUUAGAACUAAAUCCCAAACACCCAAGCAGACCUUGCCUAUAGGGCAGAAAGGUCUUUUUCCUCAACUCUUCAGCUUGGGCCCUGUUUGCUUUAUAAUGCAACUCGUGUGGUGAAGGUGGCACGCGCCUCUUCCCAACACCGUUGGUGGGCUUCCCGCUCAUUCUCCGGGCCCAAGCCUGAGAGCUACUUCCUUUGGACUUGUGCGUGGCUUCAGAAGAAGAGGGCCCGUUCUUGGUGUUUGUUGGGACAUUGAGAGUUUGAGCAGUGGAAGUGGUGAGUUUCUUAUCUUUGGCGGUUGGGGAGAAGGAAAUGCUGGACCAGAACUUGUUGUUACUUCUUCCUUCACUUUUGCUUCUGAGAAAGUCCUUUAAGAAAACCCACCUCUUCGAACUUCUCCCAGCCGAAGAAGACCGAGAGGACGAAGCCGAACCUGAUACCGAAGGAGUUGUCUCCAAACCUAAACUCAAACCAUCCUCUGUGUUCUCCCUUUGCUUCUCAGCUUCCAAGGAACUAACUUCCAUUUGCUUCCCGGAGCUCACGUUAUUGUCAUGAUCCCCGCCAACAAUAUGAUCAUCUUCGUUCUCUGCCCACUCCAAAGGCGUGUUGCUUCGGAGAGGAGACAUGGAUCUGGUUCUCCUCCUAACAGACUUGUCCCGCAACCUCAGAUCUCUGCCUCGGACCACACUAACGCUAACAGCCUCGGCCUCCUCUUCCUCCUCUUCACCUUCCAGAUCCAGUAAAGGAGCAAGGACUUGGGGGCGUUCAAGGUGGCUUGAGAGCUUCAUGGGACGGAUCUGACCAUUCAGGAACAACUCGUCAGCAGAACUCAUGGAACCUGAACCGGCAGAACCCGCUGAACCGAACCGGGCGGAGAAUUCAAACUCGUAACCCAUUGGUGCGGAAGAAGGACUCUUGUCAUAGGAAGAGACAGCGGUUAUGGCGAAGUGCAUUGGACUGGCAGGAGCGCUGUAGAAGAAGCCUGGGUGCGGCCCUCGGCCGGGACUUGAAGGGGCACUGAUGUAAGGCGUGGAACAGGUGCUGUCAAAGUCUUCAUAGAGCGGUUCGCCAUUGGUGGAGUUGGAAGGUGGUUGAGGGUUAAGCUUCUGUGCAUUAUAGGUGGUGGCUGAUUGAAGCUGGUCCAUUAUUAUUGUUGUUUGAGGAAGAGAAAGAAGAAGAAAUAAAAGAGUGGGUGUAGAUAUGUUUGUGUGUGACUCCCUAAUACCUCACCUGACUCACUCAGUGCACACACAAAACAAUCAAUGAAUAAAUAAAUGUUUUACUUGUUAUACUCUACGCAUUCUAUUAUUGCACCUUUUUGCCCUUUCUCUUUCAUUUUAUAUCCUUAACUGCCAUUCAUUAUUCUUUCCUAUUUCCUUGUUCCAGAAGAAAUAAAAAGGUAAAUCAAUACAUACUUAAUAUUUGGUUAAUUCAGAUAUACAUGUUGUUAAUUAUGUCAUUUGCAUUGUAAAAAUAAAUUAAAACCCUUGUACUUACUUGAUAAGUUUAAUUAAAAUGUACAAUUUAUUAUUGAUAAAGUAUGAUCAAAUCUGUUCAUCUUUAUACAAUUCAUUUUAGAAAUUUAUAAAGCCCAAAUUUGUACGCAAAAAUAUAUAUGAAAACUUAUCUCUUAAUAAAUAAUAUACUGUAUUCAAUUUUCUGCCUCAUUAUACAUAUAUAUAUAUAUAUAUAUAUAUAUAUAUAUAUAUAUAUAUAUAUAUAUAUAUAUAUAUAUAUAUAUAUAUAUAUAUAUAUAUAUAUAUAUAUAUAUUAGUACUUAUUUCAAAUUAAGAAGUUUUCCUGAUCUAAUCAAAUAGUAUUUUCGGUUUAUCCUUAUUUUUGUUGAAAAAAAUAAAAUUAAAAAGAUGGAGAAAAUAUAUAAAGAUUGAAAAGUUUGUAAAAAAAUAUAGUAAAAAUUAAUUAAAUAUAUAUUUCUUAUUGAUUUUAUUUAUUAGGAGAAUUUUCUUAAUAAACAUAUAAAAAAGUUUUUAGUUACUAUGCUACUAAUAAAAAAAUAUAUCAAAAUAGAAUAAAACUAUCAAUAUUUGCAGUUUUACAAUUUAAAUCAAUAAUUUAAAAAACUAAAAAAUUAACUAUUCUUUCUGAACAUGGAAUUAGACUUUGAUUAGAUUGUAUUUCUCACAUUCAUUAAAUAAGAUUACAGUUUGUCUUUUAGUUUUGUUUGAUGGAUGACCUUGUUCUGGGUUUUUUUUUUCUUGUGUUUAUACUAUUCAGAAUUUUAAAAGGUUUGGAAAACUAUCUUGCUAAACUGAUAAAGAAAUAUUUCAUAUUUUUUUAAGUUAUAAAGUACUUUAAUUUUAUUAAAAUAUUAUAUACUUAUAUUGUCCAACCAAGUAGAUUAUGAUUCAAAACUUGAUAAUAUCAUUUUAAAUUUGAAUAUAUAUUUUAGAAAUGAAAUAUUAGAAAGUAUUUUAUUGCAUAAUUUAUCACAAUUCUAUCAAAAAAAUAUAAAAUGCUUUAUCAAAAAUUAUAUUUUAGCUUUUUUAAUUAAAAAUAUCAUUAAGUAAUGUACUUUUAAUUUUUAACUUGUUAUAUACUAUAUGAAAGCUCAUGCACAAAUUACAUAAAUUUUCAGGUAAACUUGUUUUUACCAUUCUCAAUAUUCUAAGCUUAAUUUUGUUCUUACAUGUAUUUUAAGCAUUCAUUCACCCCUUUUUAUUUCUUUGAGACUAAUUUUCAUUCUCAAUAAUUUUAACUAUGUGUUUCAUAACAUUUGCCUAAAUAGAUUUCUUUCAAUUCUUCUAAUAUUUCAGGACAAACAGUAAAAUAAAAAUAGCAUUCAUUUUUAAGUACAGUUUAGAAUUCUUUUAAAAAGACACUAAAAAAUAUAAUAGUUUUUAAUAAAUACAUAUAUGUAAACUAAUUAAGUAUUAAAUGAAAAGCAAAAAUGUUUUCAAGAUUGAAAAUUAAAGACAAAUAAAAAUAAAACAUUUUAAAGAAUGUUAUAAUUAUAAAGACACCAAGUUGAGUUGGACAUAAAGAAAGGAAUAAUUCAAAUUAAGACAAGUGAAAAAUAUAUUUUUAUAUCGAUUAUAUAUAUAUAUAUAUAUAUAUAUAUAUAUAUAUAUAUAUAUAUAUAUAUAUAUAUAUAUAUAUAUAUAUAUAUAGGUCUCAGUUUUGUAAAUAUUAGAAAAUUUUUAUACUGAUUAUAACAAAAAAACAGAUAUAAAAAGUAAUACGAUGUUAUUAUUGUAAUAAAAUACAAAUAUUUUAUACCGGUUGCAAUCUUAAUAAUGUAGAAAAUCUUUUUUUUUUUACCUGUUAACUCUAAAGCAGGUAUAGAUAAAUGAUUGAUCUAUAUCAGUAAAAUAUUAUAACACGUAUGGAUUAUUUUACAUUUCUCGCCAUACUUUUUUUUUUUAUGCAAAAAUUCAUCACUGUUCUUCCUUGGGUUGUCAAGGAGGUUGGGUGAAGCUGUGUUUAAAAUUGUUCGUCACAUAUUCUAUUUCACAUUCACUCACUCAAGAAGUAACAUUCACAUCUUUUCUCUCGUAAACAUUUCUCAUUAUGCGCGUUGUCUUCCUCAAUAUUCCAGUGACUCGAGAGCUCAUCCUUCAUUAUCACAGAGCAUCUUCCUCACCUUCAUUUAAAUAUUAUUUCACCUUCGAUCUACAUCUAUCGAUUAUAAUCACAUUCUACCGAUUAUAAUUCCUUUCCACUGUUUAAAACCUCUUUUCCACCCGAUCAAUCAGUCCAUUAUAGGAUUCCUUGAUUCCUUUAGGAUUUUGCACAUAUUAAACCAUCUAAUUCUCUUAUCUAAGACAAACAUUUGAUUACUGCCAUAUUCAAGUUACUUAGCCUAUUUAUUAGUUGAUUUAAACCAUGUAUAUAGUCGCGUUGCUAUAGUUGUUAUGAACUAUAUCUCCUUCAGUAUUGUUCGUUUACAAAAUGUUUUCUAUGAUUUUAUCUUUUUUUUAGGGUUCUCAUAUUGUAUUGACAAUAACUAAUCCAUCCGAGUUUUUUCAUGACAGCAUAAAAAAUAAAUUGAGUUGCAUAGAAUUUUAAAAUUCUCUAUUAUAUUGAAUUCAACUCAACCUACUCCUCUUUUAUCCAGUUCAGUAUGUGAAAAGACAGAUAAAAUGUAUAAGAUGUAAAAGUUGAAUUGUGUAUCAAAAAAUUUAUAAUUUUUGUAAAUUUGUAUUAUCAUUUAUCAAAAGACAUUUAUAAAAACUUAUUCUUAUUUUGUUUUUGCAGUUUAUAUGACAAACAAUUGCGCAAACCUUGAGCAAAUAAGUUACUCCUAACAAAAAUAAUUUAAGUAUUUAAGUAUUAUUUAGAUAAUUUUAAUCUUAAUUAAAAGUUUAAGUAUUAUGUGAAAUGCAAUUACUCAUAAUUAAAAUCAGACCAGAAUAUUGUUUAAAAAAAUAAUUACUUAUAACUGAAAAUCAAAUAUUAUUUAUAACGUAAUUAUUUUUUAUCUAAGACACGUGUGUUUUUCUUGGAAACUCAAGUACUCGUAAUGAUAGGUUAUAUAAAAAUAAAUGUGAUCUAAAAUAUCUUUGGAUUUUGUUCACUAUAUAAAAAAAAUGUCUUCAACUCUUUAUGAAAUUUAAGACAAAACUUUUAACCAUAAAAAUAGUAGUGUUUUAACAAUUUAUAGUCAUUCAUUUUUCUUUUUCAAUUUGGAAGAUUCUAAAUAAAAUGUUGAAAAACAGUGGUUGUAAAUAUUGUUUUCAUGAUGAGAAACUUUCAUUCCAAAUCUUUAUUCUUAAGCAUUUAUAUUAUUCCCACAUAUAAAGAUAGAGAUGUAUUAUAUAUAUAUAUAUAUAUAUAUAUAUAUAUAUAUAUAUAUAUAUAUAUAUAUAUNNNNNNNNNNNNNNNNNNNNNNNNNNNNNNNNNNNNNNNNNNNNNNNNNNNNNNNNNNNNNNNNNNNNNNNNNNNNNNNNNNNNNNNNNNNNNNNNNNNNNNNNNNNNNNNNNNNNNNNNNNNNNNNNNNNNNNNNNNNNNNNNNNNNNNNNNNNNNNNNNNNNNNNNNNNNNNNNNNNNNNNNNNNNNNNNNNNNNNNNNNNNNNNNNNNNNNNNNNNNNNNNNNNNNNNNNNNNNNNNNNNNNNNNNNNNNNNNNNNNNNNNNNNNNNNNNNNNNNNNNNNNNNNNNNNNNNNUAUAUAUAUAUAUAUAUAUAUAUAUAUAUAUAUAUAUAUAUAUAUAUAAUAUUUUGAUUGAUGAUAUAACUUAUCAUUACCACAGGGGUUUUUAGUAGAAGUAAAACGUUGGAACAUAUUAGAUAAACAGUAUUUCCAAAGUUUGGAUAAAGUGAUUAGAAUGUUGACAUGAAAUAACUUGAGUAUAAAUCUUUAGUGUUAAUAUGUGUGUUUUUCUUUUUGUAAAUAUAAAUAUGAAAACAUCCUCUAUAAUGCAUUUAAAAAUUCAAAAAAAAUCUUUAUGUACCAUAUUAAAAACUAAAUAAUUUAACAUUUCAAAAAUAUAUAAUUAAAUAAUAGAACAAUAUAGAAAAUUAAAUAUAUUAAUGUCACUUAUCAAUUUUGGUAAAAACUUGAAUUCAAUUACAAAACUUAUCACUCAACCAAUAAUUGAUUAAUUCAAAUUGAAUUAGAUCAAAUUUGACCCAAUAACAACAAGAAAAAACUAUGAAAUUAUUAACCAAAGAACACCACUCAAUAAUACAGACUUGGCUAAGGAAAGUUUAUGUCAUUUAAUGAAUGUUUUCAUUCACAACACAUAUUAAAGAGUGAUUUAUUGAGUGUUUAUUUACAGUACAUUAAAUAAAAACACUCAUUAAAUGACGUAUACUUUGCCACUAUCAAACUUAUUUAGUCAAAUUUAUUUCAAUACCAUUGAUUUUUUCGUUUUAUUUCUCUCUUUAUUUAACUUCGCCACUAUGCAUAAGAAUAAAUCAUAUUUUAAUUUAUCACAAAUAAAAGUGAAUAUAUAUAAUUCAUAUAACCAUUAAAUAUUGAUUACAAAUAAUGUACUUACCUAUUAAUAUUCAUUACAAAUAAUAUCAUUAUCCAUUCUAUAUUUUUUUCUAUAGUUCUAAUAAACAUAAUUUUGAUUUUUACAUCUUAAAAUAUCAUUAUCUUUAAUCUCUUCUUUCUAGAUUGAAUGUGUAGUUUAGCCUUUAUUCCAUCCAUAAAUUUUGUUCUCUGAAUUUCCACUUAAAACAUAGAAAACACAAAGGUUUACAAUCUUUAUAAAUAUUUUUUAAUAUUAAAUAUAUCAUUAUUUGACACAUAUGCCAUAAAUACACAUUUAUCUCAAUAGCAGUAUAUAAAUUUACAUAUAAAUAAUAAGGUUGAACGAACUGAAAUAAACAAAAAAGUUAAACAAAAAUAUAGUUAUACAUUUCAGACACUUAAUAUUAAUCUACAAGUAACAAGAACAAAAUAUAGUUUUAAAAUUAUAAUUAUUAUUUGAUUGCAUAAAUAAAAAAUCUAUUUUAUAAUACUUUACUGUAUCUUCUUCAUGAGUAUUAUCAUGCUCUUGAAAUAAACUUUGAAUAUUUUAAAACGAAGAAAAAAUUUAUAAAAGUCAACUUGUACACAUAAGCACAAAUGCUAUUUAUUCAAAUCUUUCAAUUAAAUAAAUUUACAAUCACACACAAAUAAAUAAAUAAAUAUAUAUAUAUAUAUAUAUAUAUAUAUAUAUAUAUAUAUAUAUAUAUAUAUAUAUAAUAAGAAAUUAAUCGUAUAAGAUGAUAAGGUCAUUACAUUAGUUUUUAUUAUUAGAUUUUAAUUAUUAAAAAAAUUAAAUGGAGACAAAAUAUUUAGUGUAAACCACUAUUUCAAAUAAAAGUUACCUUGAUAAAUAAGAUAAGUAAAUUUUAUUGAAUAAAGUUAUCAUAUCUAAUUUUGAAAAAAUAUUAAAUUAAAGUAAAUUAUCAUACCUAUAAACUAGUCAAAAGUGUACACGUGCUAGAAAUUCAUCUAAUUUUGUCUCUAAUAGUAGACAUAUAGUAUUUAAAAAAGUUACUUUCAAUCCUAAGAAAUUUGAAUAGAAAUAUAUACAUCCACUCUAAUAAAACAAAAAUUUGUUAUAACCUAUUUUUAUUUCACAUUAUUUAAGUCCCAUAAGUUCCUUUCAAAAACCUUCCAGAUGGUUUUUCCUGUUUCCCAUAUUCAAGAAAAAAAAAAUGUUUAUUCACUCACUUUUGGCUUCUGAGCCUACUGAUAAAUAAAUAAAUAAAUGAAAUGGUGAUUGUUAAACUGGUAUAUAAUUUCAUUUAAAAUAAGGAAAACAUGCUUAAACUGUGUUUAUGACGUAAUUUUUAAAAUAAUUGUUUAUUUAAAAAAUUCAUUUAUUAAAAAAUAAUAUUUUUUUAUUAUUUAUUUUACACAAUUUGUUUCCGUGUUAUUAAGGAAAUUAGUUAAUUUAUGUGGAUGAUGACUAUGGUAAGAUAUUAAAAAAUUAAUAAUAAAUAAUAAUCAAAUUUAAAGAAUAAAAAUAAUUAAUGACUAAAUUAUAAUUAUUAAACUAAAAAAUAUUUAUAUAUAAAAUAGUUUUUAUUAUAAAUAAAUAGUAAUAAUAAAUUUAUGAAUUAAUAUUUAAAUUGAUUUUUAAAAUUAGUUAUAAAUGAAGAAAUUAAUGUUUAAAUUAGUUUUUAAAUUUAGAAAUUAAUUUAAAAUUUAUCAUGUCAAAGAUGAAAUUUAAAAUUUGAGUAAUUUUAUUUUUAUUUAGAAACAUUUUAAAUCAUAGAAAUAAAAUUAUUAAACUAAAAAAAUUAUUUUUGUGAUCAUAUGAUUUCCUUUUAGAUCAUUUUCUAAAUUUGUAACUGUUCCGGUUUAUUUAAAAAAAGGCUUAAUACCUUCAUUAGUUUGUCUGCAAAUCUCAGUUUCGUCCUCAAGUUUUGAACUGUCUCAAUUAAGUCAUAAUUUUUGUAAAAAAUGUACAUAUUUUACCCCUUAACUGUUAAGUUGUAUCAAACGGUGUUAAUUGGUGUUGAGAUGAUUUUUUUUAUUUUAGGCUUAAUCUCUCUCUUGAUCCUUAUGUUUGUGUGAAAAUCUCAGUUCGAUCUCCAAGUUUUGAACUGUCUCAAUUGGGUCAUAAUUUUUGAACUAUUCACAACGGCGACAUUUUUUAGUUUGAGAGGGAGAAAAGGUGCGAGUCGGGGGGUUUGAGGAUGGAGGAAUGAGUGAAAUGUGACAAGUGAUUGGAAGGAAAAAGAAAGACCAUAGCCACGUGGAUUUAAUGAUUUUAAAACAUCAAAAAAAAUAUUACUGCUCAAUUCAAAGUUAAUGCCGUCUUAAUACACUUAAUGGUUAGGAUAAAACGUUGUAAAGUGUUUGCAUUUCAUAAGGACUUGAGAAAAAACUUGAGGACGAAACUAAGAUUUUCACACAAACAUAAGGAUCAAGGGAGGAAUUAAGCCUAAAAUAAAAAAAUUCAUCUCACCAUCAAUUAACGCCGUUUGAGACAACUUAACGGUUAAGGGGUAAAAUAUGUACAUUUUUACAAAAAUUAUGACCCAAUUGAGACAGUUCAAAACUUGGGGAGCAAAAUGAGAUUGACAUACAAAUACGAGGAUCAAUAGAGGUAUUAAGUUUUUUUUUAAAAAAAAAAAAACAAAAAGUUAAAGUAAAAAAAAUUACGGUAGAAGUAUCUUAGUCAUCUUUCUUUCUUACUAGUGAUAUUCAUUUUUUAUACUAUUCUAUCACAUUCGUUUUAGAGAUUUACUUAUCAUUUCCUUAAAAAAAUAUAUAAACAUGUACUUUAGUUUAUUUUAGCAUAAACAAGCAUGACAAUAAGAUGUUUACGAGUUUUAUUAUUCUUUUUAUAUUACACAUAUUUAUAUAUUUUUUUAAUAUUUAUAAUUUUAGGAGUCAAAACUAUUAUUUAAUAAAUCUUUCCAAAACAGAUAGAAUUUUUUUACUAAACAUCUUAAUCGAGUAUGAAUUAUUAUACUAUUCAGUUAUAACUUUCAACAAUAACGAAUAAUUAGCUUAAAGUCUAUAAUUUCUUUAAGGUUGGAUUGAUAAGUAUUAUUUCUGAAGCCGAGAAAUUAUAUGAACGGUUUUAUUUUUAAAAAUCUUUAGAAAAAUAAAAGAAAUAUAGUUAAACCUUUUCAUGACAUAAAAAGAUUAUAUAUUUUCAAUUUUAAAAUAUAUAAACUUAAUUUUGAAUUUUUUUUUUCUAUUACUUUCUAAGAUUCAGAACUCAGGCGUCCUUGAAAUGUUGACUUUUUUUUAUACAUAGUAAUGAAUCAAGACAUGCAAAGAAAAAUAGGAUUGCUGAGUAAAAAUUAUAAAUAUCAUUAUUAUUUGUAGAAAGCAUAUAUAAAAAAUGGAGUUCAAUAAAUUGUGGUAAUAGCGAAAUUAAUGAAAUAAUUGAGAAGAUUAGAAAGCAUAGGAUGCUCCUCCAGUUCCGGUGGAUGUGUGGAGCAUUAUUUUAAUAAUAGCAUCAUUACGCAAUUAAAAAAAGGAUUAAAUUAAUGAUCUAGAAAGAAGAUACAUAGCAUAUUAAUCUGUGAAAAACUGAACAUCAUAGAAAACAGAGACUCUUUUCAGUUUUCUCCAAACCCAAGAAAUCAAAGAAUAUCAGUGGUUUACUUGGGAUGGAACAUCUACCUCACAUGGAACCACUGUUACCAAAUAACAUUACCUGCAUCUCUUUUUUCUUCCUCCAAAAGUUUUAAACAAACCAAAAUAAUUACUGUUAAUUUCUUAGUUUCUUAAUUUAUAAUUUUAAAACCUGUUCUAACUAAAAAUUAAUUAUACAAUUUAUUAUUUUAAUUCAUUCACUUAUCAUUUCCCCAUCCCCAGCAAAUAAUUUGGAGUACGGAAAUCUAAUCUAAAUUAGAAAUGUAGCUAUUCUGAUCCGAUUCAAUGUCAGUUAAUAAUUGAGCUUCAUUAGAAAAGGUGAAUGAAACUCCGAGGAAGAUGCUCAUUCCUUUAUAUUUUCUAUUUUUAACAAGUGUAUUAGAAGCGGAUUUCUAAGUCUAACUUAAUUUUAUAAAAUCAGUUUCUGAGAUGAGAUUUACGUUUCACUGAUAUAUUAUAAUUUAGUUUUAUUUUUAGUCGAUGUGAGACUUUUAACACACUGACGUAUAGACAUAUCAAACGUGAUAGUAAAAAUGAGUGGUCCGAUAGUGACUCGAUAGUGUUAUGAUAACGGGUGGAAUAAAAUUGUCAAUUAAAAUAAUAUAUAAAUAAAAUACAGACCUUUCUUUACAAGCUAAUUUUGUGAGAUUGAGUUAGGUUUAAAACAUUUUUUAAUAAAAUAAAAGUAAUUUUAAAUGUAUUUUUUCUAAAUAGAUGUUAUAAAAUUAAGUAGUAUUAGAAAGUAUUGUUUAAAUUUGAUAUUUUGUAGCUUUGAAUGAGGAUGAUUAGUGGUAAUAAUAGAGUUGAUGAAUGAAGUAGGUGUGUUGAGGAAAGUUGACGGGAGAUCUGAGAAGAUGGAAGGAAGGAGAAAGGUAACAGAAAGAGAAGGAAAUAAGAAAGAAAGCACAUGCGAUGUUGUGUUGUAAUAAAUGGUUUGAUUGUUGUGUUAUGAGAUGUGUGGUGCGUUGACAAUGCAGGCAAAAAUAACACAAUAAAAUCCUCUCUCUCUCUCAACAAUUGCAUCAACUUAAAAAGUCAAGAACACUUUUUCUCUCUCAGAGAGAGGACCCAUGUGCGCACCAAUAACAACCUCCUUCAUUUUCAUUAUAAUCCAAAAACUAUUAUUUUAUUGAAUAAUAAUAUCAUCACACAUUUUUACAUUCAUUUGACACAAAAUAUAAGGAUAAAAUGGUAUAAAAAGUAUAAAAUUUUAUAAUUUUUCAAGAAAAAAGAAAGUAAAAAAGUAAGAAUAAUUUCAAAUAAAUGUAAAAAUUGAGGUGAGUGAAAGAAUCAUUUCUCUAUUUUCUUUGGUGUUUCUUUUCUUCUAUGGCUUACUCUUCAACACAUUCAUGCUUUGUCUCUAUCAUGGGUUAACUUCUUUCAGUUAUCGUUUAUCAGUUCAUCAAAGUACGUUGUUUAUGUACAUCACAAACAAAAACAAAAACAACUCAACUUAACUUGAUCCUCUUGUAUUUUUAAGAUUUAAAAGUGAACAAGAUUAUAUUCUAGUUAAAGUAUAUAGUUGAAGAGUAAUAAUACCAUGACACACUUUUACAUUCAUUUAACACAUAAUACAAGGAUGAAAUGGUCCAAAAAGUGUAAAAUUUUGUAGUUUUUCAAGAAAGAAGAAAGUAAAAAGUAAAUAAAAAUAGUGUCAAAUGAAUGUAAAAAAUUUAGAUGUGUUAAAGAAUAAUUUCUCAUACUUUAAUAACGUAAUAGACUUAAACAUAAAAUUAUAGUUAGUUUUGGUUUUGAUAACAUAUGUAUUAAAAAGUAAAUUUUAAAUUUAAUUUCAUCUUACAAAACAUGUGAGUGUACAAGAAUUGUUUAGUCAUGAUGAAAAGGAGCAUAAGUUCAUUUUGCUUACACUGAAUCUAAAGAAAUUAUUUCCUUUCAUUCAUUACAAUCCUUUAUGUAUAAUAUGAACUAAAUCUAAGAAAACGAUUUCCUUUCUAAUCCUUUAUGUAUAGUAUGAACCAUAUGGUAAUUGGAAUCAAACUAUUAAAAAGUCAGAGAAAAAUGGAGCAACUAAGGUCAAAGAGUCUAAGAUAGAAAAUCAUUUUUUAUUAAGUCUCUAAUUAAGAUUAGAGGAGUUUAUACUAUAAUUAGACAAACUAUAAUAAGAAACUCAUUAGAAAAACUAUAAUAGAGGUCUAAGGCACCUUUAAUCGUUGUGGACGAACAAAAAACGAAUUUGAAAUAAGGAGUUAUAAAAGAUGGACUCUUAGAAAAUAAUUGAUCCACAACUAGAUUUAAGUGGUCUUUAUUAAAAAGACCGAGUGGUCAAAGUCAAACGGUUUAAGAUAGAAUAUCAUUUAAUUAAGUUUCUAACCAGAAUUAGGAGAGUUUGACUUGUAAUUAGACAUAUUAUAAUAAAAAACCUAUUGUCUCAAGUGUAUACAAACAUUUACACAGAAGCUGUUCAAUUCAAUGCACUUAUAAUUGGGAUAGUUGUGUCUGUUUUAAAUUUCAAGCUUAUCAUAUAUUUUUUUGUUCUUUACCAAAUUAUGCCUGCGUGUUUAUUAUGUUUAUAUUGUAAUGCACUUUCCUGUUAGUUAGUAUUUGUGUAUUUGAGGUAAUCAACAUUUAUUAUACAUAUACAAAUAUAAUGUGUAAACUCGCUCAAAUUAUUUAUCUAGGGCCAUUAUUAAGAGUUGAUGCUUGAGGGAUUAACAAGGGGUAGAGUCCACUAUCAAUUAAUUAUAUUAUAUUGAAUAAAAAAACUCAACUAUUUAUAAUAAUUAUUCAACAUUAUUAUUUUAUAGUUUAAUUUUAGAAAAUUGAACCAGUUAUAGUUUAGUUAACUAUUUAUUAACUUAAAAUUAAUUUAUUUUAUAUCUUUAUUUGUUUGAAAGUUUUUAAAGUUGUAGUUUAGUUUGGUUAAUAUUGAUUAGACCAAACUUUGGUUAGGAUUGACUUAGUCAAAUUUGACUGAUUUUUGACAAGAUUGACUUAGUCGAAUUUUGGUUGGAAUUGAUUCAACUCAGUUUCAGCUAUGUUUGACUCGGUUGAAUUCGGUCAAUUUUUGACUGGAAUUAACUCGAUUAAAUUUGGUUGAUUUUCGAUCGAAACCGUAUUGACCAUUCGUGGUCAUGUGAAUCGAAUUUCGUUGAUUUUCAACUAGUGCCAGCUCGAUCAAUACUCAGUUUUAUGGGAGAACCCAUGUUAUUGGGUAGAAACAAUUUUUUUCUAUCUACUUAAUUGUAUGUGUACCGUACGACCCCUCCACCUGACCGUACGGUCUUUCCCAAUGACCAUACGGUCCUCCCAUAUGGCCGUCCGUGCAGUCCUUCCAGGCCAACCUUCCUGGCCGACCAUUCAUCAGGCUGACCUUCCAAGCCGACCUUCCAGGCCGAUUAAUCACCAGGCCGACCUUCCAGGCUGACCAACCACUAGGUCGAUCAUUCAGACUGACCAUCUAGACCGACCGAUCACCAAGCCGACCUUCUUGGCUGACCAACCACUAGGUCGAUCAUCCAGACCGACCUUCCAAGCCGACCAACCAUCAGGCCGACUAUCCAGGCCUCCAGGCCGACCUUCUAGGCCAACCACAUGGAUAAAUUAUAAACGAUAAUAAUUCAUUAAAGCCCCUAAUGGAGGUUAAGGUGUGAUUGGGCCGUCAUCAGACCCACGAAAGGUAAAAGCCCAUUACAGCUAGUAUAAAUAAGGGUCUCAGGUAUGAUUUCAGACACGUUAUAUAUAUGAUACACACCACUUUUGCUGACUUGAGCGUCGGAGUGCUUUUGGCAGGUACCCGCUCCGCUCGGCUUGGAGAAGAAGGAAAGAGGGAGAACGAACAACUUCGAGUUUGAAGAGGACAAUGAUGAUCGUCCAGCCUCCAACAAGUCCCCACUAGGAAGGUUACAAGGGACCUCCAAACCCAACCGAAACAGUAUGUAUUUCUUUUUUGUUUAUGAAAAACAUAUAUUAUGAAUAAAACAGAUAAAUACUAAUUUUUUUAGUUUUUUAAUUAAAAAAUAUUGAAAGUUCGGUUGAAAAUUAAUGCAUUUCGAUUAAAAAAUAAUGAAGGUCAGUUUAAAAUUAGUGUAAUUUAAGUACAUAUUCAUAACGGUUCAAUUCAAUUAAUAGGAUAAUUUAGUGCAAUACAAGUUGAUAAACAAAAAAUAAUUUAGGAAUUAAUUUUAAGUUCAAGGGUUAAAUAUGUUUUUAGUCCCUGUACUUUGGGGCGAUUUUGGUUUUAGUCCCUCUUUCAAAGUAUAGUACAAUUUAGUCCUUCAACUUUAGAAAACUCUGGUUUUAGUCCUUUUCACCAAAUUUUUUUAACUUUAUUUAUUAUUUCAAACGCGUUUCUCAGUUAACAUUGAAGCAAAAAUGUGUCAAAUAGUGUAAACAAUCCAAAUGCUAUAAUGUAAGGUGCUUGAAACAGCAAAUAAAGUUUAAAAAAUUUGGUAAAAAUGACUAAAACUAGAGUUUUCUAAAGUUGAAGGACUAAAUUGUACUAUAGUUUGAAAGAGGGACUAAAACCAAAAUCGCCCCAAAAUAUAGGGACUAAAAACAUAUUUAACCCUAAGUUCAAUUAUGACAAAUUAAUUUUCAAUUUAAUAUAAUUUUUGACCGUGCAAUAAAUUUUUAAUCAUAAAUAAGAUAAAAUCAAUGCAAGUCACAUUUUUAAAACCAGUGUGUAUCCUUUUCUAAAAGACCAAUAUAAUCUACAUGAGAUUUUGUUAUUCAUAUAACCCAUCUAUAGUACAAUAUCUUUUUUCUUUCACUUUCUGUCCCAGAACAUUAUUUACUUUCUCUUUUUUCUACAUUGCUGUAACAUUACCUUAAAAGUAUCAUUAUUCAAUCUAAAUUCUUAUUUUAAACUUCUACAUUAAUUUAAGAAAUAACUCUUAUAAUUUUUUUUUCUAAAUGUGUGCUUACAGAGAAAUUUGUCUCAGAUUUCUAAUAUGAUAUUUUGUUUGCAGUAGAGAACAAACAAGUGCUAAAGAAAAUGAAAUAAGUGUUAAGUUCUCAUGUAAUGUUGCUAACUUGAAGAUUUAUUUUAAUGUCUCAUUAACAUUUAAAAUGUACUAGUAACUUUGUUUUUAAAGGACAAAAAUUUGAGACUAGGGAGAAUAAUACACAAUUAGACCUUUUAACUAUUAAGAUAAAGGAAAAAGUCUCUUUAACAAUUUUUUUUGGACAACUUUUUGACAAUGCAUACGUGACAGUCUAUGAUUAGUCCGUUUCAAAUAUUUUUUUAAACAUAAAUUCAAUCAAAUAAAUAAAACGAUGACACGUGUCCUGUUGUAAAAAAGUUGUUAAAAAAGAAUUGUCAAAAUAUCAUUGUCCUAAGAUAAAUUCUACCGGUCAAUAAGCAGAAAAAUAAUGAGUAUCCAAUGAAAGAUCCUACAAGGAAAUCUUGAUGGUAUGGUUGUUUACAAUAAUAGAAAACUAUUACAAAGCCUACCAUGUGAUUAUGUAUACAUACACUGAAAAAUGUUGCUGAGGAAUUAAAAAACCUGCAACAAAUCAGAAACCAAUUCGUUAAUCAAACAUGUGACAACAUCAAACUCAAGUUCUAAACCUUCUUCAAAUGCUUCAGUGUCAAACUCAAGCCAUGUACCCGAUGGAGUACUCAUGUCCUUGUAGACUAGUUCCUCCACCACUGAUUCUUCCAUGCUCCUAAGGUUCAACAUUUCCUUGUACAAAUCUUCAGCUAAAGAGCUCUUCUUCUGAACUGAAGCCAUCCAUUUAGGCAUUGCUUUGCAGCUUCCAACAAAAACUUUUCUACAUCUUAACUCUAAGCAUUCACUCACUGUGUCAAAUAUAACCUUUCUCUCGAUCUUAGAGUACUCUUCAUAGCUUUCUGCCACAGUGCUCUUAGUCUCCAACAGAUCAAAGAGAUUUGGCAUUAUGAUCUUAUCUGUCUCACCCAUCAAAAAUUUUUCUGUCAUCAGCUCUGCACUGUAGAGUAUAUCCUUUAUGUAAUCAAAUUCCACGUUCCCAGAUAAUCUUGUAAACUCUACUGAAUUUGACAUUAUACUUGAUUGUUCAAUGGCAACCAUGUCCUCUCCCAUCACUAUGCAAGAGCUUUGCUCAGACCAUUCGGCCUCGUUUUCAAGUGGCAGAGAUUCAUUCAUUGGAGAAAAAUCAGAUAGCUCUUCAUCUUGCAUGGAAGAAUAAACUGUGCUGCCUAAAAAGAGUAAAUAUGGAUGGGUGUUAAGGAACCCAGAAAGUUUCUAACAGUUAUUUUUUCAUGACCUAAACUUGAUGAAUUAUCUUCAUUAUACAUGCAUGGCAAGCUGGAUGUUAGACAUUCAAUUGAAACUGCAAUAAAGACACCAUUGUAAAGCAAAAUUGGACAGUUAUUUAGAAUUUUCUGCAACGUCUGCAUAGCUUCAUUGCCACAUCUAGCUCAGUGACUGUUCUAAUAACUCCCCUCCCUGCUUGAAGUUUCAUAAACUUUAUGCAGUAUUCAAUUAUAAAUCUAUAAGAAAGCGAAGCCACUGGUUUUUCUUUUAGAUUUGGAUAAAAAAUAUGCUCAAGGAAGUGCAAAAAAAAAAUAAAUACUAAGGCAUUACCAUAUGCACUAUCUAAGUAACUUUCAUUUCUGCUUUCGCUGUUGCUGCUGCAGCUAGGCCCUUCUAUUGAUUCUGAUGUCUGCACAAGGGAAGAGUAAUUGAUUGCUAUACCGUUCUUUUCAGUUCAAACUUCAAAAAAUAUCAAAUAUUUAAUUAAAUUUGAAAGGAAUAAUUUAAUAGUAUGUAGAUCGUAUCAGACAAAUCCCCAUAUCAUCCUAUAAAAGAUAUGAAAGAGACCUGUGGUUGCUGAUUCAUACUAAGCACCAUGCUAUCAUUUGACAAACAAUUGUCAUGCCUGCUGUCCAAUUUAUUACUAACCAGGUUGGGGUGAAAACUUCUGUCUUCCAAACCAGCAGAAGACCAUUCUUUCAUCACAGAGCAUUGAGUUGGGUUAAUUCUAGAUGUCAAUUCUUGCAGCUUUCUCUCCAAAAGGACACUUAAAGCCUCACCAUCUAUUACAUGUAACCUGGGAGGAGAUAAUGAUGAUUUUCUGGGAUUGAUCAUAUUAUUGCUACAAGAAUUGACAUCAGUUUUGUUCCUUGUUUCCACCAUUUCCUCAAUGGAGGACUGUAACUCAGGCCUUUUUCUUCUCAAAGGAGAUGUAAAUAUAAAUGAAAUCACACCAUUGCUUCCUUUCAUACUAAAUGCAUCCUGAUUAAUACUUCCGUCAGUUGUAAUAUUGCAUUUUAUAGACUUGUUUUCAUAACUAUUAGCCGCAGUAUCAGUGCCUCUUGCCUCAUUGUGAACAACCCUAUUCAUAUAGUUUUUCUUUUGGGAAAUGCUCUUUCUUUUGGAAACUGAUUUGGUAGCACCUGUUACCCUUGUGUCUGACCCUUUGGGCUCGGUGUUGGUUUUUACAACACCCCUUUUUGUGGUCUUCUUUGCUCUAGUAGAACUUUCUGGAGACCAAUUUUGUGUUGGUUUAUGCGAGUAUGCCUUGGAAGUCGGGUUACCUUUGGUGGUUUCACUACACAGUUUUUGGUUAUUCUUCCCAAGCACAUUACUAUUCUGGCCAUUACAAGCUUUCUGCUGAAUGACUCUGGCUCGGUCUGUGCUUCGUUUCUUCUGGCUCCGAGACAACUGGUUUGAUUUGAUAUCAUUAUGUUCCUUCUGCUUCACACAUCCCCUAUUACCAUUCAAAGUCAAUUCAUCACAGCUCUGAACAUUGGUUCUAGAUGGAAUUGCAAGUGAAGCAGAUUUUCUUUUGCUUGACAACCGGCAAGAACUGUUUUUUUCUGAAUCUCUUGAACCUGGUGAACUUGGAGUAGAUUUACAUAAACUAUUUCUCCUCUCACCAGGCUUGCCAUUCAGAGGGUUAGCAGUGUACUUACCUGUGAAUUUGGACUCAUGUUGGGAAGCUUCCAAUUUCUCUUUCAGCUCAAGAAUUCUUAAGGGUACAGAUGAAGGUCCAGCAGAAGACAUUCUGUUCCUCUUACAUGGCUGGGGACUUACCUCAAUUAUCUUGGCAGCUGCCUCCAUAAUUUGAGCUGCAUGCUUAGGUUGAGACAAAAGUUUGUGGUGAGUAACUGGAAUGGUUUUGGCAGACCUUGGAGGUAACAUUUCAGUCUGAAAUCUUUUCAUGGCUGGAUUUCUCUCUUUUGGUUCCAUGACUCUCCAAGAAGACUUCACCGAAUUAAGUCCCAUGUUUAUCGAAUCAACAUUACAACAAUAGUCAACCGUUGAGUGAAGAACAUCCUCAUCAGGAGUACGAGAAGAUCCAAGAGAGUUGGAGCCAUAUAAGGAAGUGGAUAAUGAAGAGAGCUCAGAGACAUUUGAAACUGGCAGUGAAUCCAAACCCAUGAGUCUGGCUACUAACCCCGGGGCUUUAGUCUGACACCCUUCAUCACUACUAAUUGAUAUGGCACAAUCAAAAUCAGAACUUGCAUUGUUACUAGGAUUUCCUCCAUUGUCAUUCAUUUCCAUCUGAAACAAUUGCAACAACCAACAAAAAAUAAACCGUAUCAUGAAAGAAGGGCAGAAAAAACAAAAACAGAAAAAGUUACAAAUAACUCUUGGAUUGUGAAAGGCUGAACAAAUUCACACCUUAUCGACCUCUGACUUUGGCAAAUUGUCCACGUUUUCCUUUCCUUGCUUUGAAAUUUCUAAAGUACAUGCAGCAUAAAUGUUUAGAACAGGCCAAUCAGACUCACUUCACUCCAUACAAUAACUAAUGAUUGAAAAAGGUACACAACUUUUGAACAAAGGAAGCAAGACAGAAGUGUAACAAAUAAGAACAAUAAAACAAUACAAAAGAGAGCAACGAUAAUUACCAGGCAACUUAGGAUCGUGAGAAAGGUGCUUCUUUUGAUAUUUACCAUUCCAGUCAAAGAAGCUAAGAAAGGUUCCCUUGAAACGUCUUCUGUGAAUCUCCAUUAUAAUGUUGGCCGUAUGAAACAAUGAGAUCCUGUUGACAGUUACUUUCUCUGAAGAACCCAAAUCUGAAGAAGAAACAAAGUCCAUCAUCUGAAGAAGAAGCCCAUUUUAAAGUCUCUUUCUUGCAACCAGAAAACACAUCGUGUGUGGUAAAGGUGGAGUCUUUUUAAAAGGGGGCCCCUGAAAAUGGAAGUUAUGGGUCAUUAUCAUAAAUCUCUCCCAACAAAGAAACCAGUCGCUGAACAAUGCUUAGGCUCUAUUUUCCAUCGGUCUCAACACUCUGAGUAUUCAUUCAUUCACUCUUGUCGUCUAUGUUUCUGAAAGGAAACAGUUACUGCUUUGCGUGUGACAUUAAUCUGCAAAGACCAGACUUAUAAAACGGGGGUCUCGUGGGGGCUAACAUAAAUAAAAGCUAAGUCAAACACAUCAACUCAACUAUAACUUUUUUAUUAUCAUUUUUUCUUUUUAAAUAUUUUUUAUCCACGCCUUAAACAAACUAAUUCCACAGUUACAUCUUAAUACCACAUUAAUUCAUAAAUAAGAAAUACAAUAUGCAACUUGGUUCAAUUAGAGUGCUAACAAUAUUUUCUUUAUAUAUAUAUAUAUAUAUAUAUAUAUAUAUAUAUAUAUAUAUGUUAUAAUUAAUUUUUAAUCACUCCAAUAAAUUCAUGCCAUUUAUAUACUUAUUAAUAUAAUUCAUACGAUUUAACUAAAUUUAUCAAUUUUAAUUAAUUUUAUAAUUUUUCUUUUCUUACUUUUGAUGAAGCAAAACCAACUCGUUCCUAAAUGAAGUGGGAUAAGAUUUAUAAUUAACAAGUAAUUAAUGAAUGGAUGAAUUCUAACUCAAUUUGAGUAUAUGGAUGACUAAUUAGAUAAAAAAUUACUACAUUUAUCAAUUUUGCCAAACAAGUGCAUAAAGAUGAACUAUAAAAGCAUUUUAUUUUGGUGGAAGAAUUUGGAAGUUUUUUUCUCCAAACACUUUGGUCUAGAGUUUUUAACAAACACUUGAAAUUUGUAUCAUUAUUUAGUCAUCUUAAAUACUAAUAACAACGAAAUUCACUUUCCAUAUUUUAAAGAAAUCAAACUUUAAUUAUAAAAAAAAUAUAGACUCCAAGCAAUACUUAUGUAAAAUAAAAUAAACAUCACUUGAAUCUUUAAUAGAAGAAAAAAUAUAUAUUUUCAUACAAUUUGUUUGAUAACAUUUUGACGCAAAUGUAUUAUUUUUUCAUUCAAAACAUCUUAGCAUAUCUAUAGUUCAAACAUUAUUACAAUCUCCCUUGUAAUAACAUGGAUUGUCGUUCUCAGAUCCAUCUCUUUACUAACACAUUAUGGCAUAUUAUAACUUAUUUAUUGUUUUGCAUACAUGAACAAUACAAACUCAUCACUUUCAUAUACUUUUUGUUCUCAUAUCAUAUUUUUCUUUCAGCCUUUUCGUAUACUUUUUUUUUCACUAGAAAUAAUUAAAAAAUAUUCUGAUCACUUUUUCACUUUCACAUUUUUUUACUACUUUAGUUUAUCUUGUUUGUUAAAAUUGUGACUUGCUUCCCACAAUGCUGAAAUCUCUAUUGGAAAAAUAAGAAUUUAUUCUCUUGAUGGAACCGUGUAACCUUGUUAGGAUUUUCUAGAAUUCCAUACACAGAAGUUACUUUCUCCUCUUAUUAGUUAUAAAAUUUCGAUAUAUUAUCUGAGACUUCUUUUGUAUUUUAAAAGGUUUGCACAAGAUAGAGUGUAUAAAUUCUUAAAAGAACUCUGUUGUUGGUUUGCUAAGCCCUUAGUAUUGUAUUACGAGCAUAUUUACAUUUCACCUAUCAUACAACUUAUGACACUUUGGAUUGGGAAGACAAAAUAGUAUAGUAAGGACAAUUAGUUGAUUAGGUAAACGUAAAAAUUACACAAAAUAAAGUCAAAUUAUAGUAUAUUUAUUUAUAUGAAUUUAUAAAUUAGUUUUGUAUUACUGAAUUAUAUUUAAAAUUUAUUUUUGUAUUAUGUCAGAAUUAUUCAAAAUCUUAUUUUAAGGCUGAUUAUUGUCUAAUAUGUCACGCUUCUUGUAAUCUCACGCUUAUAAGGAGCUUUCUAUAUCUAUAUGUAGUAAUAGAGGAGAGGUUAUUUGAGGGUGAAAUUGGUAAAAAGAAACGCAAGUAGUUAAGACGUCAUUCUAAAAUUUGUUUCUUGUUAUAAAAAGACACCUAAGAGUACAAUAUCAGGACUAAUUAAGAAUACAUUGCAUGUGCAUUUAUUUAAUAUACAUUCCUAUAAUUCACUUUUAGACUAUGAUUUGUCAUUUUUGCGCUACAUUCGCAGAUUCAUAUUUCAUAACCAGCAUUCACUAAAACUCUUCAUCAUACCAUGUUAAGAAAAUAUCAAAAUAUUUGAUUGAGUGCUUUUAAUAGAUACAGGUGGAGCCCGUACUAAAUGCAAAAGGCUCACAAGUCAAUCAGUAAAAAGCUGUAGGUUAUGCAGUUGAACUCAAAGGAUACGCAUAUUUCUCUCACCAUGUGCAAUAAAAUUUUAUAGUAAAAAAAUUUUUCUUUCUAAAAAAAAAAAACCUAUGCGUACGGUUACCAGCCCAAUCCCAGUCAAUAUGCAUGAGCUAAUCUUUCCACGUGACUAGUGGAAGAAACUUCUAUAAAUGCAGUUCUAUCAUCCAAAUAACUUGUAAUAUUUUAAUUAAAAAAUCAUAAGCAUUUACACAAUUAUUGUUUAUUAAUCUCAAAUCAUAUUGUUCAUAACACAUCUCAGCCUUUUAUCUUAAUUAUAUUAUUCGGUGUACAAGCAAACGCACAGAUGACAUAUUUCAUGUGCAUCAUAUUAGGAUGUUUAAUGUAACAUACUGAUUUUGACAACACAAUCACCUAUAAAUUACCAAAUAUGGUCAAGGUUAAGCCUCUUUCACUCCUCUCGAGAUACAUCAUCUUAACUCCAAAUUUGAUUUAUUAUUAAAGUUUUUGUAAGUAGUUACUUGUAUCAUUAUUUUCCGAGAUGUCGCGGCCUUAUACAAGUAUUACUUUAACAAGUAACACGUCUUAAAAGCAAUUGCCUAAACUUACAUUUUCAAGGAUCAAACAAAAACACUAGUUGACUUCUGAUCACCUAAAUUAUAUACUAACUCAAUUUACAAACUAUCACAAGAUGGAUUAGGGUUUCUCCCAUUAUUUAUGCUAUUACAUAAAUUUGUUAUGCAGUGGUUAUGAUUUAUGACAUUUUUUGUAUGACUACGCAGAGUCAUUUAUACGAGGACUUAAUUUAAAUUUUUAUGGUGCAUCACGAUAAAAUCCAUUUUGCUCAAUGAACUUCUAUAUCAUUGGUGCAGUUAAAAUUGAAUGCAUUGACUUACUCGAGAAAGUGAAAGGGACUUCAAUAUGUACUCGAUGUCUCCAAGUUAUCAAUCAACGUCAUAAUUGGGCCCAGAAGAUUGUAAGGUGGGUUCUUGAGAUCAGAAGUUAAAUGCAUUUGAUAUGAACAAACAGUAUUGUUGAGAAUUAUCAUUAUUUAUCGGCGUUUAAUUAAUGAAGAUCAGAUAUCAGAAUUAUAAAAAUGUUAGUAUAACUCCAUCAGUCCAUUAGCAUAACGGUUCCCAAAAGCAUCCCAUGUUAACUGAGAAAAUAUUUAAUUUGAAGCAUCAAUACGGAGAGGAGGACCAACUGGGUAAAACUGUAUCCAGUUCUUUUACUUAAAGGAACCAAUAAUACCUCUAGACCAAUAAUAUUAUGACCGAAAUAGGUUCUACAGAACGCCAUUUCCAGUUUAGCAUAAUUAUAAUUUUAUGUGCAAAUCUAAUUAAUCAAUUUUUUUCCUUCAAAAGUGUGGUACAUCUUGGGUCGACAUCUUUCUUCUAUAGAUCUGAAAAAUAAUGACCAAGAAAGAUAUUUCGACUUUUCCACAGGUAAGCUCAAAGAAAAAUUUUCUGAAGGACAAAAAUGCUAUAGGUACCGCUCCAGAUAGUCCACAGAAGUUUGUUAGAGCGUACCAGACUUGACAUUGAUGGUGCAGCAAUUCAUAAUACAGUCUUGAUACAGUUAUCACAGGGGCUAGAUCCAUACUUGCAAGAUUUUCUAUCAAAAAAUUCUCCGAAGUGUUUGAGUAAAGUUUGUCUCCGGCAUUCAACCUAACCAUCCAAACAAACACAAUACAUAAAAGUCUUAUGAAUAAACGCCUUUCUGCACUACAGGCCAGUUUGCUAUACCCUUAAAAACACGGUGAGCAAUAUAUGGAUGAUUUUUAUAUGAAAAAUUUAUAUCCAAAACUCAUAUUUUACUAUUUUAAACCACAUUUUCAAAAACAGACAAGAGAUGUGAAAGAGAAAAGUAAAAAAAAAAAAAAAAGUUGACAUGCAAAGGAGCUUUAUUACCUCUAUUUCACAGUACUCUUGCAUCUUUUUGGCUUGAACCAUUGCUGUCUUAAAACUUUCCUUUUUAUAUCCCUGACCAUUUCUUAUCAUGCAUACAACUCUACUAAAAUCCUUCUUUUGGUAAAGAACAAUGCAAACUGAAGGAAGAUUAUCUCUUCCGGCCCUUCCAGAUUCUUGAUAAUAGCUUUCAAUAGAUUUUGACAUUGUAUUGUGGACGACGAAGCGCUGAAAGCAUGACAAAUGAAAAUUUGAGUAACAAAAUCUGUAAAUUUAAGAUACCAGUAAGGUAGUCUUUCAGUUAGAACUAAUCCCUAUAUUUUCAAGUGGAUAUAUUUGCCCUAGCCAAGCAUUCAAAUGCUACACUAACGUAAAUAUGUUACAUUUAAGUUUAUAUAAGGCAGGUUCGUAAAUGGAUCUAAUAGAUUUUGGGUGUAUACUUUCAAAUUGCACUUGGACAGUAUGGAUAAAAGUAUCUGAUGAUCACUAGGAAUCUGAAUAAUUGUAGGAGUAUCACUUUUAUUAGUUAACUCAAUCAAUAAAAAAGGCCUUGAAAAAACUUCAAAAGUACGGAGUUUUUGGUAAUGCUGUGGAUUUUCAAAAAGAUUAGACCCAGUCAUUUCUUAGUCAUCCGACUGGUGAUAAGUAGCAAAUCAUUGAUAGGUCAUUUCAUUUAUAUAUCGCCUAUAAGACACGGAAUUAUCUACAGGGAAGGGCGUACUAUAUUUUUUAAAGGUGUAGUAUUCCUAAACAAAGUUGAUCAUAGAAUUUGAAUUAUCACACCAUAAUCAUAAUUUUAAAAUGUAGCUCAACUUACAACAUCAGGUUUGUCUAUCCCCAUUCCAAAAGCAAUGGUUGCACACACAAUAUGGACCUCCCCGUCAUGCCAUUUCUUUUGAACAGCUAUUCUCUGCCGGGCAGCCAAGCCAGCAUGGUAAUACACUGUUUUGAUCUUGCAUUUCUCAUUUAAAAAUUUAGAGACCUCAACACAUUCACUUUUUGAAAGGCAGUAAACAAUUCCACACUGAUUCCUGAAGCGAUCAAUUAGUAGCUGUCCGAGUUGCUUUAGUGGUUCCUUUGUCUUACCAAUCACUUCAUACUUCAAAUUUGGUCUGUCAAAGCUUCUUUCAAGAACGAGUGCAUGGGGAAUUCUUAGAGCAUUUAAUAUGUCCUGAAAAAUAAAAAUUAUUUAAAGGUGAAAAAGGGGCGAAAAAACUCAAUAGAAAUGCUCAUCACAGUGACUUGAUACUCUGAUUACCUCACGAACUGCAUGGGUUGCAGUGGCAGUCAAUGCCAUGACGGGUACAUCUGGAAACUUUUGCUUUAGAGAUCCCAAUCCCCGAUAAUCAGGCCGGAAAUCAUGUCCCCAUUGGCUGAAAAGCAUGAUGUUCAAUUUGAUAGUAAUGACUGAAUAGUGGAUAAUUUGAUAUCUCUUAUAACAGUAAAAAUAUACAUAGCUUUAACAAGUCCAUCCCUUGUUGUAGGAUAACUUGCUACGCUAGCAGUUUUAAGUUCUGCUUGCACACCAAAGCUAGAGUUUGACCCAUUUUGCUCAUCUCUACUUGAAAGCUACGAGUUAUAAUUAAAACCUUAAAAGGUAUCGCAAAAACUGUUUAGUAUGUUUAUAGUUUUCUUAGCUUAAACAUAUAUAACCGUUUCCCAACUACUUUCAGGUAUAAACUUCCCACCAUUAUAGAUUCCAUACAACCUGACCAUUUGUGUUACUCAAGACCCGCAGUGCCAACUCUGCCAAACUGGAACUCAAAGGGUCUCCGUGAUUUUUGGAGAAUGGAAUGCUCUUGAAGUACUAGAGUUUGUGCUAUUGCAUUUUUUACCACGUUAUAUGGAUUUUUUAGCUUAGGCUUGAUUCUCAAGCAUCCCAAGCGUGAUACAUCCUUUGGAGGUUUAAGAAUUGGGGAGGAAUAAAGUUCAUCUAGUCAUCUCUUGAUCAUUGAUUGUACAAAAGGUGACAAAUAGUGGAAAAUCAAAAUUUCUGAAUUGGGGACAGAAUGCACCUCUCAGUUGUAGAGGAUGUAUCGAACCUCUUGAGUUAUCUCUCUUGUAAACCCUAUCUUUUACAAUUCUUGCAUUUAAUUGAGAUUUGAUUGUGUGGGUCAUUGUCUUGACUUUUUUAUUGAUUGAAUUGUGAAUUACCACUGGAUCUUGAUAUUAUUGAAUAAAAUUCACAUUGUUGUUGCGAUAUUGGCUGCAUGGUGAACAUACAGAUUGCAUCAUUUCAAUCAUUCUACUCCAUGUGAGCAAGUCAUUGUACAAAGAUAGUCAUUACACAUUAGAAAUUUGCAUUAGAGCGUAUCUCGGACUAACCCCCACACAAAUAGAUUGAACGAUCUUAACAUUAAAAAGGAGAGAAUAAUUUUCAGAAUUUUUCAAAAAGGUUGAUUAAAAGAUUUUAAAAGUUGAGUUCUUCAAUUCACUCUCUCCAAAUCAUUUUCACCAACACAUUUUGUGAUCUCACUGUUUCGAAGUAUGUCAUUGCCUACCAGAAUCAAUGUGUUCAUUUUUCAUUCGAUUUGUCUUCUUAAUUGGCUCCAAGAUAGCUUAACUUAAAAAGACAUUUCCUGAAUAAUGAUACUUCAUUAAUAGUUAAAUUUUGGGGCUUGUUCAUAUUGUGCGACCAUUAUGUCAUAUGUGAGCUCAUAUAGCGCAGUACUGCUUCAAGCACGUGUGAUCAAUGGUAAUGUUAUGUCUUAAAGUUCCAUACAAUUGUGAUAGAUUCUAUAUUAUAAAACCAAAUGUUUUUGAGAUAAAAUCUUACAUGGUAUUAAAGUCUAAAGUCCAUCUAAAGUUCUAUACAAUUGGCUAACAUGUGAAAGGAGGGUGUUGGAAAAUCACAUAUCAUCUACCUCAUUUAUUGGGGUCAACUAUAUAUCUACUGGACAAGUUCAUUUGAUGGUUUUAAGAUAGAAACUAAAAUAUUAGUUAUUGAUGAAAAACAAUUAUUAGGAUUGUACACAAAAAAGAACAAGGCGUACCUAACACAGUGUGCCUCAUCAACAACAAAACCUGCUAGUUGUCCCUGGGAUUCAAGAGGGAAAACCAACGAAAUAAACGUCAAAAUCUACUGCUCUGCCACAAGAGUUUAAAAAAAAUGUACUUAAAUCAAGAAAACUUUACCUUCCGAUGCAUGCAUUUCAGAAUCUCCUGAAACGAUUGGUUGCCAGCAAUUCUCUCGGGUGUUACAUAUAAAAGUUUGCACGAUGGUUUGUCUUUUCUGGAUACAAGAAGACCAAUGUAAGAAAAUUUUAAAUAAGCAGUAACAUGCAAGAUUUUUUAGAAAGGAAGUAUACUACAAUAGUGUAUAAUAUACUAUUCUCAUGGGUAAAUAAUCAGAGAGAGAUAAGAAUAGACAAAGAAGUGAACUUCACCUUAGCUCUUGGAGCACGGCUGUGGCCUGGGAAGCAGUUUGUUGAGAAUUUAAGAAAGUAGCAGGUAUUCCAAACUUGAGGUUUAGUGUUAUUAUCUGAUCCUGAAUGAGUGAGAGUAAUGGAGAUACAACUACGGUGACACCUGGUUGAAGAGUUGCUGGAAGCUGUAAGUACAAAAUACAGAAAAAAUGUCAGAAGCACAUAAACUGUACGGUGACAGAUAAUAGUAUUUACCUUGUCUCUGGGUAGAAAUUAUAGUUUGGAAAACCCCUUUUAAUAAUGAAUAAAAGAGGGACAGUCAAGAUACACAAUUAUUUGAAACAUUCUCGAUCUUUAGCCCUUUUGAGCAAAUAGUUCUUCAGAAUAUUAACCAUCAUCCAUAUUAAGUGAUUUAAAGAAUAUGGCCAAAUAAUGAACUUAGAGAAAUGGAGGUACAAGAAAUAACUGACCUGAUAGCAAAGAGAUUUACCACCCCCAGUAGGCAUAAGAAUAAAGGAAUCUUGCUUUGCCAAAGCUACUUUACAUGCUUGAUGCUGCAAUGGUCGAAAUGUACUAUUACCAAAGAUAACAACAUUGGCCAAUUCAAUAUCAUCUAGAGCUUGCAAUUCUUCAUAAGUGAGAGUACCACUUUUAUCCCUUGAUGCAAAGGAGGAUUGCAUUUUGCUGGAAGUUGAUGAAACCGAGCCUUGAGUGAUGCCACUUCUGUAAUCCUACAACAAAUAUUAAUUAUUUCGGUAUAAUAUCAACAUGGCAUCAGUCUUAUAUACCAGAAAAUCUAGCUAACAAAAAAGAAAAUAUAAUAGAACUAAGAAUAGUACGAACUGUUACCAAAUAUUAUUGCCAUCCAAAUGAUCAAACUAAUUUAGAACCAUGUUAUACUUUUAGUAGACCAACUAUGCAAGAAGAGUAGGUGAAAAAUUUACAUAUUCUGGGAACAGUUCAAUGUCACAACCAUCAAAGAAACUCUCCUAGCAAUUUUUCAUUAGUGCUAUAUUGGGUUUGAGUUGCAUCAUUUCCUGUUCACCUAAUUCCAUUUCAUCCCAGAUUGUUUAACAAUCUUUGUGCUUGGUUUUGCCUUUUAAAGAAGAAAAACAUUUAAGCAUUAGAGUACAUAUGCAGAUCAAUCAUAAGUUUCUGUCCAUGUCAGUGCAUUUUCCUCACUUAUAAAACCAUGGAAUAGCUUUAAUCUUGUUCGUAAAUAUUUUGAAUAGCUACACAUCACUGUGAUACAGUUUUAGAAAAGCUCACUUGUUAUCCCUCUUCCAGAUUUUUUUUUUUUUUAAUUUAUUAGGCGUCGGUCUUCAUUCCGUGUCCACUAUAUUUGUUUAAUCCACUGUUGUGCCUGUCCAUAUCCAAAUCGCACAUAUUCAGCUUUCUGUCGAACUGUGCGUCAAAGCUCACAAUUGUGUAUUAUUUUUUUUUCUUUUAUUUUGAAAGGCUCUUACAAUUAAUAAAAUAAUUAGUAAAUAAAAUUGGUAUCACCAGUAGGAUUAAGAAAAUAAUCGAAGAAAUUUUAGACAUUCUGCAAUUUGAAAAUACUCGGGCAAAAAAAAAAAACUAAAGACAAAAUAAAAUUAUUUUGUUACCACAGAUUUUCCCCUCGGAACACUACAGUGAAUAUCCUCAUCGUCACUCAAAUCCAACUCCACUACAUUAGCGCGGCAUUUGCGUUUCUGCGGUUGAGGCGAGUCGUCAACAACAUUAAUGUAGUUUCUCGAAGCGUCCUCGUUAUCCGCAUCGGCAUCCGGAGCAACGGUUUUGUCAAGCACGUGCGUCAAGGUUCCGCACGCUUGUGAUUCCAUUUCCUGAAGGUCAUCCCAAUCUUCAGUAGCCUGCAUAGACUCCGCUAGAGUCGCGAUAAAAUCGUCGCCGCAGUGCUCGACGGUGACGAAAUCGCGACCGUCUUCUCCUGAACAUAAAAAAAAAAAGGAAGCAAGUUCAGUUAACAGCGUUACGUUGCACUGAAUUGCAUUGCAGAGAAUUUGAAAUGAAAGCGAAUUGAAGUUUAGGUGGCGUAUUUACCGUAGAGAUCGAUGAGACGGUGGAGGCAUUUGUUGGCGGAGGAUUCGUCAAAACCGAAUUCGAGUGCUAAACUGAUUAAGCGAGCUUUCUCUAACUCCAGAUCUUGGUUUUUCUUCCUGCUACAGCUUCCCAUUUCGGUUCCCGCGCUUUUUUCGUCUUUCAAUUCAGUUUAGCUCUCGACGCUUCUGCUAUGCUCCCAGGUUUAAGAGAAGGUUGGGUGGAAGCACGCGCUUUGCCUCUUGCUUAGACAAAAGGCGCUGUUUUGCUUUGUAUUUUCUAUAUCUCACUUUACUUUUUUAAUUAUUAAUAUUAUUUUUCUUAUAUUUAUAAUUUUCAAAUUAUUUACAUCUUUUAAAGGUAUAAUAGUUACCUUUUCAUUUAUUUUAAAAUAUAAAAGUUCAUAAAUUCCUCUUUUUUUAAUAGUGAUGUGUAAAAUGAAUAUUUAAUGAAAAACCAAAUAUACUUGUAUAUCUUUGUAAUAACUUUAAUUAAAAAUUGAAUUUAUAGCUGAACAGUGUUAUGAUAAGAUUAAAAAAAUUAGUAAAAUUAUUCUAUAUAUUUUUCUUUCCGUUUACAUUUUUUUUUCAAUUUUAAUCAUUAUUUUAAAUUAAAAUAAAUAUACUUUUUUUUAUCCCUUAGAUAGUUGUUAAUUUAAAUUUAUAUUUUUAAAUUAAAAUAAUUAUUUUAUCUUUUAAUCACUAUUUAUUUAAUUUAAAUUGUUUAUUGAGUUAAAUUAAUCAUCUAAAAAGAAAAAAACACAUGUGAGAACAUAGAGAAUAAAGUAUUAAAGUUGAUAAGUGUUUUAAAAUAAUAAGAUCAAAUAUUAUAAAGUUAAAAUAAUUUGAUAAUAUAAAUAGAAUUUAUUAAACAUGUCUCAUCAUUUAAGACACUCGUUUUUUUCUCUAAAAACUCUUUUUCUCAAAGUUCUUUACCUUCCCUUUACCUUAUCUAACUCUUGAGUUAUCUUUAACAAUCAGAAGUGUCUAAACAAUCACACCAACGAGGUCUACAUUUCUAUUCUAUUAGUUUUUUUUUUAGAAUAACUAAGUUUCUACUCUAUUUUUUUCCUUUUCUUCUUUUCUAUGAUCAUGCUUAAGAACUCCUUCACAUGUAUCAUUUGUGGGUUAUUCUUGGUUUUUUGUUAAUCCGUAGUCCUAAGGACUCACUUUGAUCAUUUGGUGACUUGUAGGCAUUUCUAGAGUUCAAUGAGCUCGAAGCAAGGGUAGAGUACUAUGUAGAGCUUGAUAGCGAUCUCUCUAAGGUAAGGGAAGCUAGUGUUUGUAUUUAAAUUGAAUUAUAAAGUAUGAAAUUGUCACUGCGAGCAUGUAUGUUGUUGAAUAUAGAAUUGCUUAUGUGUAAAAUGUUUGUUUUGGUGUUAAUUGUGUUUGAUUGAGGAAUAUGAAUGAACGAUGGUUGAUUCUUUGUGUGAUUACUAUAUAAACUUGGAAUAAACCUGUGAAUGCAAUUGGCAUGAUGGUAUUAGUGUUAAUUUUUGGUUAAAAUGAUUAAAAGGAAAGGUAUGAAUAGAAUUAUAGGUCAAAUUUGGUCUAGAAUGGAGGUUUUAAAGGUGAUUUUCUAAAAUAUUGGUCUAAGAUGAGAAUUUGUGGUUUAAUACAAUUAAUUUUGUCUUUUGUGACUUGUUUAGGAUGUGAGUCAGCUAAUAUGAGUUUUAGGAAGGAAUGAUAGUCAUUUUUGUUUUGUUUGAAUUGUCGUUUAAGUGUAUUUAGGGGUUUUAACAAUAAAAUUUUUAAGAUAAUGGUUAAAUGGAAAAAUAAGAAGUUUAAGGUCAGUUCUUAAGUCAUUCAGGAUUUGUUUAGAUGUUGAGUUAGGUAAAAUUCGAGGUGAAACUGUUAAUUAGUUCAUAUGUUGUUUUCUAUCACAUUUUGGUUCAUUUUUAAAGCUUAUAACUAGUAAAAAUCUAAAGUAUAGAGACUAUGAUGAAAAUGAGGUAUUAAGGUAUGUUAUUGAGUCCAUUAUGACUUGUUCAAACCUCUAAUUUGUAAAAUUUAGUAUUAAAAGGUGUAAAUUUGAGUUUGGGGUACUUUUGGAGAUGUAAAAAAUGAUUAAAGGAGUACUUAGAUUUAUCUAUAAACGUGUUUUCACAUCAACUCUAAUGUUUAAAGAACAAAUUUAAUCAUUCGAACAAGUCUCAGGUGCGUCAAAUCCAUAAAGCAUAGUUUGUUGUCAUUCGAUAUGGUGCCUGAGCACCCCUUUUUGGGUGCUUGAGCAUCACAUUCCAAUGGCACUAGCGUUGAGCGCUACUCUAUAGGUCUUGGGUUAGGUUAUUUUAUGUCGUCUUGUGAUCUUUUCUUACAUUGUUUCAUGAUCUUUUGGAUGGAUAUGUAAUGGUUUCAUGUGAUUGCUUACUGUAUUUAUGUGAAGUAUAUGUCUAUGAUUAUGUGGGAUAUAUAAUGAUGCUAAGUAUGUUGUUGAUCAUGUGCAUGGUAGAUAAACGUAAUUCCAUGAGCUUGUGGAGAGGUUCCAUGGUGGUGUCUUAUAUAGUCUUGAUAUGAAUGUAGGGAGCUCAGUUUUUGAGAUUAUCCUGCAUUCUAAUGACCAUCCAUUCUCAAGUAAGAAGGGCUGAGACAUGUGAUGAGAGUACCAGAAGGUUAAUGGUUGUAUUAAACUAUAAUCAAUAGUUAUAUAAAUAAAUUAUAGUCAAUAAUUUUAUUAAACUAUAUAUUAUAUAUUUUAUUUAAUAAUAUAAUAGUAAAUAUAAUAUAAAAAUAUUGAUUUAAAUAUAAUAAAAUUUCAGCAUAUUAAACUAUUUAAUAAAAUAUAUAAUUUUACAAGUCUACAUAAACAAUACAUUAAUAACGUUAAAUAUAAUAACUGAGAAUAUAUAUUAAAAUAAAUAUAUUACAAUAUAUAUAUAUAUAUAUAUAUAUAUAUAUAUAUAUAUAUAUAUAUAUAUAUAACUUUUCAAUUGAGUAAGUUAGUAUUUCAAUUGAAAAAGUUAUGAAAAAAAAAAGGAAAAAAAUUGAGGUAAAUUAGUAUUAGUAACUAGCCCACUAAAAUUCUGUCCCUACUCCUUCCAUAUAGGGGUUUUGGAACUAGAACUUUCAUAUAGGGGCAAAAAAAAAAGAGUCUAUUUUUAGGAAGGGUGAGAUUGAACCCAUACAUGAUGGACCUAAAUGACACCUUUACAUAGAACAACUAUACAGUAUUAUAGAGCUAGGUGACGCAAGAUGAAGUCGAAUGCAUUAUUAAACCAAAGUGGAAACGACUUUUAUGCAUGCGAUCUUAAAGGUGCGAAAUCCCUCCUUGAGAGAGGACUUGACCUUGCCUUUGGUUUCGUAACGCUUGUAUUUUGCCACUCUGCGUCUUCUCUUAGCUUCAUGAUCAUUCCAGUCCGGUUUCAAGGGAGGUGGACUACGUUUUCUUUCUCUCCUUGCAUCGGAUAACACACCAGGAGAUGCUCUCUCCCUGCUCCUUGCUAUCCUAAUUUGGUUUUCAUCUGUGAUUUUCACUAUCUUCGCCUGUGGCUGGAUAUCUGUCCUCAUUGGCGGCUCCUUCAUCACUGCCAUCUCUUAUCUGCUCUCAAAAUUCUAUUGCUAUCCCUCUCAAUCUCCCCUUUUAUAUGUGAAGCAUUAGAUAGAGAGAAAGAGAGGACACUGAAAUUCAAGAGACUUGAAAUGCUGGGAUUUGCGUUUCAUAUAUAUGAAUUUUGUUUAUGAUAAAGAAGGAAUGAGAUGAAUGGAGGAAGUCAUCCCUAGCUGCAAUAAGAGUGGAAUACCACUCUGAAUUUAGCCUCUCAGCUACAUCAUAUAAGUUUUCUUAUAAGAAACUAAAAAUAUAAGUUUCAUCCAGCCUAUUUUGGGCAUCACCUUAAAUACCCGUAAUUGAGCCUGGCAAAUAUAGCAUUUCGUAACACAAAAAUAUUCUUCUCAUUUAAAAAAAGGUGAAACCUUUUACACCAUCUUUAUAAAGAAAAUCACAUUUUCUAACUCUAGAACUAAGUUUUGUCCGUUGAACACCUCUAGUAGUAGAAAAUGCCAUGGAACAAAAAACUUUUAUAUAAGACAAAUCUGGUAUGACAUUAUAAAUAAUUUGAUAUGGUGAUUUAUUAUGUAAAUGUGGAGUAGGAGUUUUAUUUGUUAAAUGAACAAAGUGCUUGAUAACAUAUGAUAAAAAAACAAAUAGGCAAUUGAAAUUGAAAAACUAGUGCACGAGUAACAAUCAAAAUAUAUUGAUGUCUGUGUUCAACAUUACUAUUUUGUUGUGUUGUUUCCAUACGACUAUGUGGACGAACAAUCCCUUUAUUAAAGAAAUUAGUCAUAAGGAAUUCGGCUUCAUUGUCACUUCUUAAUAUUUUUAAAUGACUAUUAAACUAAUUUUCCAUUGUAGUGAUGAAAUGUCUCAGCUUUGGUUUUCAUUAAGCAAACCCAAGUAAAUCGAGAAAAAUAAUCUACAAUAGUUAAAAAAUAUUUAUAUCCUUCAACAGAAACAUGAUGCAAAGGAUCAUAAACCUGCUGCUUCUCAAACUAAGAUUGAUAGAUAUAACUCUCGUUUGGUAUUGUUCUAUAUUUCUUGGGGUUUGAAAUAAGUUGUUCAUCUUGUAGUAUUGUUCUCAAUCAACGAAAGUAUUGUUUUGAUCUCCUUUUUGAUAGUAGUUUACUGGCUUGUAAACCUACUACUUCUCCCAUGAGACCAUCUUGUUCUCUGUCUGAUGGUGAAGGUUUGUUGCUUUCGGAUCUUGGUGAAUAUAGAAGAUUGAUUGGACGUUUUGUUAUACCUCACUCACACUAGGCCAAACAUUAGUUUCGCAGUUCAUAAACUCACUCAGUUUGUUUCAAAUCCGUGAGAACCUCAUAUGACAGCAACUCUUUGUGUAUUAAGAUAUUUGAAAGGAUGUCCAGGCCUUGGUUUAUUCUUUUCCAAUGAUAAUCAAAUUGUUAUCAAAGUUUUUUCUGAUUUUGAUUGGAGAACUUGUGUUGAUUCAAGAAAAUCUAUUAUUGGUUAUUGUGUGUUCCUGGGGAAACUCUUUAAUUUUGCUAGUCUAAAAAACAGUUUACAAUGUCUAGAUCUUCUUCUAAACCAAAAUAUAUAGUACUAGCUUCGCUUGUCUGUAAACUUCAGUGGUUGCAAUAUUUAUGUCAAGAUUUGCAUACUGACAUUUUUAUAAUCUUUUGUUUUCUAUUGUGAUAACGAAUAUGCUAUUUCCAUAACUAAGAAUCCCACAUUUCAUGAAAGAAAAAAGCAUGUUAAAAUCGAUUAUCAUUUUAUUCGAAUUAAACUUUAAGAAGACCUUAUUCAUUUACUUCCUAUUUCUUCUUCUAAUCAAGUGGCUGAGAUGUUGACCAAACCUUUGCAUCCUCGGAAGUUUCGUGACAACUUAUCCAAGCUAAACAUGAAAGACAUCCAUGCUCUAGCUUGUGUGACACUAUAAGAUAAUAAUUAAAUAUCUUAUAUAUCUUAUAUGAAUUUUUCAAUUUUGAUUAUAUUAGUUUGUUUUCAGUUUUGAUUAUAUUGUAACUCCAUUAUCAAUUAUCAGUUGUAAUUAUAUAUAUUAUUUGGUUUUCCUAUUCUUUAAAUAGAUGUAGAUCUAGAAGUGUAAAGGUUAUCAGAUUAAUAAAAUAUUUGUACUUAUACAUGUCUAUUUCUUCUUGGGUAGAAAUGAAGUUUAUAUACUGAUGAUAUAUUUACCAAAAGAAAAAGAUAAUAUUCAAUGAAAUUAAUGAUCCUAAUGAAAGUUUGUUAUUUUUCCACAUAAAGUUUUCCAUAUAUACAAAAUGGAUCUUAGUUCAGGACGAAUGCUUGCUGGUAUCGUUUUCCGUGUCUACAACUUUCGGUGUAUGUUUCUUGGAUUUCUUGCCGUUUUCAUUGCGGGAUACCUAUUUGACAGUUAACAAACAGUAUAAAUCGAUAAUCAUGCGUGCGGUUUUGUUCUUAUGCGUGGUUCUAAAGGUUUAGCUGAGUAAAUCAAAAUUGUGAAACUAUUAAAGACAAAGAAAAGGCGUGAACAGAAAAAAAAUAAAGUUUGCAAUAAAGGAAAAUAGGCAGAAAAGAGGUAUAAUAACAUACUAUGAAAGACUUCCACUCGGGUUUAUCAUGUCCAUGACCAGGAAGAUGGCGGAAUAUGUGAACAAGAACAACAGCAUCCAGAGCAGCAUAUUCCAACUGCACAUGUAGAAUAGCGUUAACUGAAUGACUGGCUUCAAAUGUAUAGCAGUCGUUCAUUCUUAUCUUACACUUCUAAAUUUCUUUAGAAAUCAUAAAUCAUAUAUACAGUGUAAUUUGAAUCAUUCAAUCCAGCAUGGAAAACAAUAAAAUUUUGUUCAGUACAUGUAGGUGAAUUGCAUACUAGGAAUUAUACAUAAACAUUCGAAGCCAAUGUCACAAAUGCAUCUUCAGAUAAGUUUUAAGAAUAUAGAUAUCAGUAAUGGAUAACAAUGAAUAAAGGGAAGCAAUUACUUGAUUUGGAGUUAAUGGUCGUUGCUCCCAAUUGCUGUUUCGUCUUGUCUUGUUUAAACUAGCUCCCAAUAUUUUCUGAUUUACCAUUAACAACACUAAGUUUCGUCAAAAUAAGCUAACAGGAAAAAACCAAGGGUUUUGAUAACUAUCCCUCUACAAAUAUUAAAACUACUUUAAGGAGACACGAAAAGAGAAAUUCAUACACACACUACCUCCGUAAGCCCAGCCAAACCACCCCGGAGUCCUUUAAAAAUAUUCUGGAUAUCCAGUAACAUUUCAUAGUUCUUGAAACACCUCAAUUCUUCAUAUGAGUGAGAAAGUUGCCUUACAUCGCAUUGGAAAUUAUAGCCUGAAAAAUACAAGCCGUUGGACAUGAAUGGUUACUAGUUGAGAUUUACAAAACGAAACCAAUGUCUUGAGAAUGUUCCUUUACAAUUGAAAUAAUAUAAUGCUUAUCAAAGCCCAACAACGGCAGCACUCUCACUCAGGUUAAAGUAAUAAUUUAAAGUUAAGAAUCAAUCUUGUCCACCAAAACUAUUUGCUAAUAAUUCAAAGACUAAUGUUUAGAAUUUUCAUACCAAGUUUUAGAAUUCUAGGUGACAGCAGAAUGCGAGAUAGGCAAUCAUCUAAAAUGUCAGGUACUUCUUUGUGUAACUUUAUUAGAUCAAAGAUAAAAACCAUCUUUUCAGAAGCAAUUUGCAAGAUAGAAACCUGAAACAUGGAAAUUCAAAAAGAAAAGGAAAGGGGAGAAUGAAGCGUUCGGUUUCUGAUUAGGAAAUGUCACAGCUCUGAAGACUAAAACCCAGAUAUAUUGAUUUUCAAAGAAUUUAAAUAAACAGAGAAAGAAAGAUGUAAAAGCAUUCAAAGCAGGAAGAUCGCUUACCUUGUUUGGUUUGCUACCUUUCACAUAAUUGGGUUUCCAUUCACAAUCAAGACCUACAACGUUAAACCCUUCAAUAUGCCUUGUUGCAUCAAACAAAAUUUCCGCUUCAUCAACCCAAAUGAUGUUUUCAACCAAUAACUCGUCAAGACAUAAAUAUCGCCCUUGCAGAUUACUUGUUUCUGGUACUGGAGCACAUAAAACAGUUUUCUGUUCAUCAUUUGAGAAUAUAUAGACACUUUACAUAACAAUAUAGUUAAUGAAGUAAAAUGGUAUUAACAUCAACGUAAGAAUAUUGAUAACAAAGACUACAAAAAACUGAUUUCAGGGAUACAAGAUUAUUUUUUUUUAAAAAUGACUGAAUAUAUUAAAAACCGAACUAUUUGAUGCAGAAGAAGAAUAAGCAACCAACUCUCUUAAUGGUUAUGGAAUUUUUGUAUUAUUUAGAAUGCAAUAUUUUCAUCAUUUACUAAUUUUCAUUGCGCAUAUCAAUUUGGCUUACCUCCGGUAUCCAAAAACCUCUCCAGGGAGUACCGAUGACAUAGUUCAUCAACUUUCUCUGUGUAACCAGCUUCCAUUGCCAAAUAAACCUUUAAAAAGUAAACUUAAAAUAUUAUACUACUAUACAUAUUUGAAAAUUAUGCUGGGGCUAUAAGGCUAAAACUUCCAACAAAAACUAACACUCAACGAGUACUAUUUUUUCCAAAAAGUUAAAUAAAAGAAUUAUAGUACUUAUAACAUCUUUUCAAUACAAUGCAGAACCAGCGUAUUACUGUUUUGUUUCUAUGCCUGUGUUCUGUAUCCAUUUUAAAAAUGAAACCAUCACAAUUUCCGAUUGAGAAACUGAUGCAUCAAUAAGAUAUCCUAGACACUUCAGAUUGUACAAUCCCAGCCAAAAUUGGACAUGAUGGGCUCACGAGACCUCCCUAUUUUGAAUUUGACAACUUCACAGCCUUCCUGUAAUUAGUAUAUCCACCCUAACCAAUUCUACUAGCAAAGUGUCAGAUGAUACCUAAUAAUCAAGCUAAAAUUAUGCUUGGGUGCCUGUGCAUUAUGUAUCUGAUAUACAGGUUAAAGAGCUGUAGAAAAAAAACCAACCACGUAUUCUGGGAGGUGACUCUUAGUCAUGUUACUUUAACCACCCAUCAGUUUGUAACAAAAAAAUGAGUGCACCACCUGAAAGUUCCUUGUCUUAACUAGUGGGUUCCAUAGUUCAAAUAUCAACAGGCUAGCAGUGGUUUAGAAAGUCACGGAUCUACUGAGAAAUAAUCUUACCUUUGCAAAAUAUAUUUAAACAAAAUAGGUCAUCAAAUAUAUAAUUUAGGAAAUAUACAUGAUCCUUCAUCGUAUUUUUGCAAAACUGAGAACUCACAUGGCCUAAAUGGCCCAUUACACAAUAAAAAAAAUGUUUGUUCAAGUUUUCAUGAGGAAUAAAUCCAAAUAAGAAGAUACAAAGCUUAACGGUAAAAAUUACACCUAAAGGUCGUCCAACAAGGACUGCAGAAAACACCAUACAACUAAAGCAGAAAAAGAAACAAAUUGUCUAAAUGUCUUCUGUAAGCAACACAAUCAAAACAACAAAUGAAUAGAAAUUCAAGACCACAAGUGCAUAAAUACAAUGACAAAACUAAUCAAUAUUAGACUAUAAAGGACAUAGUUUAAAAAUUAAGCAUUAGCUAUUACACAGUUUCUAGAAGUAUAUAUCUAUCUAAGUAUGUACAUAUAGAAUGGCAGUCGGUGUCAAAGAGCAAUUAAAAACUAACCAAAUAUUCCAUAAGGUGCAUAUCAUUGUUUAUUUUUGCCUCAGCAACAUCCCAACAUCCUUUUUCUGCUAAGUUUUUUAGAGAGCUGCAAAUUAACAAGUUAUUUUGUUAAAUAAAAAUUUAAAAACCUUAAGGGGUUGCAAAAUUGGAUUCAAGAUGCUAUGUACAAAUCAAAACAACACUAAAUCAUCCCCAUGUAAACCAGUACAAAUCAUUUACCUUUCCUUAGACCUUUUGUAUAUGUCUGGAAAAUCCUGCUUUAGAUUAUUUUUCUUUAUAAUCUCAUAUGCAUUCUUUAGCAUGUUCCUCUCAGUGAACUCAUUUACAAGUAUGGAUAACAUUGGUUUCCCCAUAUAUGUUGCCCACUUCUCUGCUGCUUUGAAUUGAUUACUCUGUAUCAUAUCAAGGAGAAAAGACUGGCCAUAACGGUAGAUAGAGAAUUGCUCUAUUAAAGUUACAGCUGUCAUGUACAACUGGGAUUUUACCAAAGUAACAAUAUACUCUUCUACCAAUUCUUUUGCUAAGCCACAACUUGAAUCAUGUUUUUCCUUAAGUUGGCACAUUGCUUUCUCAAUAUUAGUUAGUUUUAUAUCAAAAAUCUCGACUAGCUUCAUGACUAUCUUUUCAUCGUGAUAGAUCUGGCCCCUCAUAACAUCUACAAUUAGAUGUGCUACCAAGUCUUUCACCUCCAAUGAGUUUUCUGUAGUGGUUGAUCUUUUUAGGAAUCGGCGAAGAGCAGAUACUAUCAUAUGAGUAAAUCCUUGACUAUGAUCUUCAAAUAAUGGAGACACAUACAUGCAAUGAACAAUAAAAGUUGCUGGUCCAGGUUUGGGAUCAUUAUGGAGAACAAGAUGUAUUUGAUUUUGGAGGGCUCUGAAUUUUGCAGUUGCCUUACAUGUACCUAUGCAAUGGCAUUUGAAAAGAAACAACAAUGAAUAGCAAGAAGGAUAAACCAUUACUGAGUCCUACACAAACUUCAAUGGUCAUUUAGCAUUUAUUAUUAAAGUUAAAAUUAGUGUUGGUGGCAAACAUGCUGACCAUGAAAAUAGAUAAAGGUACAAUGUCAAGGCUUUUGGGGUUGAGAAAUGCUAACAACACAGUCGGUUGAACACAUUCUGUUUUAUUGGUUGAAAUUUACGAAAAAUCAAUGAUAUUUGACAGGUUCCACAUCAUAUUUAAUUAAUUUUCUUCUAAUUUAAAAGUUUUUAAUAAAUUUCAGUCUAUUAAAAAAAAAUGUGUUUCCUAGCAUUCAGCUUUGGGGUUUCCGAAUUUGCAAUUGUGACCAUAUCAGCUGCAUUUGCCCACAAUUUUUUUCACAACACCGCAAAUUGCAAAAAACCAGCAACCACCACAACAGUAAUUUAAAACCUUGACAAUAGCAUUGAUAUCCAGUCUGUGUGGGCACAAGGCUAAAUUAAAGAAAAACAAACUACUAAAAAGGUUUAAACGAACCAUUUUAACAAACACUUAGCAUUCAUCAUCAUAUUAUCUCGUUUCAAACAAUUUCUAGCCUUUGAAGGAAAAGAAAUCAUACCGUAAUAAUAAUAUUCUUUCAGCAAAACCAUAAAUACCACGGGAGAGACAUGCGUUAAAUCAUAAAAAGCAUGUGUACACAAGGUCCAAGUUUGGCUAGCAUUGUCCUUGUUGCAUGUCUUUGCUACUUUCUCCUCCAAACCCAUCACUCGUAAAAACUUCAAUUAGAGCAGCAAUGCCUUAGAUAUGUAUCUUAACACUGUAAACUCCUUAUCAUAAAUUGAACAGAGCAUCUCAUAUAUCUAUUGUAAAGUUUGCUUUGAAAUGAAUGGCUCCUCCACUUAAGCAAAACUAGAAUACAUAACCAAAUUGAAACCAGCAUUCUUCUUAUAUUUACACACAUGCAAACAAUUAAUUCCACAAUAGCAUGUCGGUGACUCAAAUAGAUCAUUUUUUUGCUGCAAUACUUGAAAACAUGAAAAUAUAAAAGAGGGACAUAAAAAAGCAGGAGUACCAAUUAUCUCUCAGUUCACUUCUAUUUUUCGAAAUUCAGAGGCUCUGAUGAUUAUGUAGAAUUGAUUUGAUUACAGAAAACCUUAGACUCUUAACCCACAUCUUAACCCACAUCGUGUUUGGAUAUGAGUUCAGAGAAGAAACAUUAAAAAAUUAAUAAAUUAAAAAAGGUUCCUUACUGUUGCUUUUCUCUCUUAUUUUAAAUAUUACAAGAAAAAGAACACAUGCAGCCGAAACAAAAGAGACCAAGCUUUGAAGAAAAAAAUAAAUAAAAGAAGAAAAAGAAAACAGAACAGUAGAAUAAGAGAAGAAGGAGAAGAAACUCACAAACUGCAGUUGAAACCAAUUCGACAGGAAAAAAUUGCAGACAGUAGGGUUAUGAAGCUCUGUAUUUCUUCUGCUUUGACUCUCUCUAUAUAUACAUUCAUAAAUACCAAUAUAUAUAUAUAUAUAUAUAUAUAUAUAUAUAUAUAUAUCAUUAAUUUAUCAUGAUCAUGAUCAGAUUUGAAGAAAAAGAUUAGCGGAGGAAGAGGGGUGAUUAUUUUAAAUAAUAUAUUAAUCUUUGAUAUGAUUUUAAUAAAUAAAUAAAAUUGUAAGACCUUGUCAGUUUAACUUGCAGCAUGUAACCUCUUCUUCUUUUUUUUGGUCAAAAUGUAAAAAAAAAAAAAAAAAUUGAUUCCAUCGGGCCCACAAGAUUUUUUCAUAAAGGCAAACGGUAAAAUAACCUUAAAAAAAAGGACCGGCAUCGUAUUUUCUUAAAGUUGGCUGGUCUGGCUGGGCCUUUGAAAGUGAAGCUGCUGAUUUGAAGCCCAUGUGCGGAUUAAUGAAAUGCAGCGUUUCAUGUUGCUGCAAAGAGGCAAAGCUGAUGGGGUAUUCUUUCUCACGUUCAUUCGCACAGAGUUUUACUCAUUUGGGGAUUUUCUCCCAAUUCUCUCAACCCUCGUUAGGAUUCGCGAGCCAGCAAACAUGACGAAGCAUAGAAGCACUCCAUGGGUCGAGUUGGAAGACGAUCAGAAGCGCUGCGGCCCAAAGAAAAAACCCAAGAUGUUGACCGGUCCGAUGAGCUGUGCUGAGCUGGAUUGACGGUUGAAGAACAAAGCAUAGUUAGUUGAAGGAUACUCCAGAAUAUUCGAAGUUUGUUUUCAGUUCUUUCCCCUUUCCCUCUUUUCUUUUCUGUUAUGGACUUUCUCUAUAAAAGGAAGUCUUGUAAUGAACAAUGUAAGUGCACUGGAUGACAGACUUUGCACUUAGCUUAAGAUUUUUAAUUCUUGCUUUUAGUUUUAGAAUUUAAAGCUUUCGUAGAUACGCUCUUUGCUACACUGGGGUUCUUGGAGCUUUCCAUUGGGUGACAGUGGGAUUGAGAAACUGGUACCUUUUAUUUCCAAUUUUAUGUUCUUGCAAUGAGAAUUUUAAAUUUGAUUCAGUUUACAGCUUUACUUGUUCAUUAAUUCCAUUUACAUUUUCUGCUCUUUAGAUUUCGAUUCCUGAAAUUACUUUUAUGAUUCAGUUUCUUGUUUUUAGUUUUCUUUUAUUGCUUCUUAUUCUGUUUCAUUUCUUUUAGUCUGUUUCAUUCAUCUCUGUUUAGUUAGUUUGCUUUCACCAAUUGAUUGUACAUAUUAGAUGUUAGGUUUUGAUUCUGUGUUAGAGUUUUGGUAAAUUUUUGUAGUUGAAUUUGACUUGAAAUUUAAAGAAGACUAUGCACAUCAAUAUUGUCUUGAUUAGAUGCUACAUGACUGUUAUUCAAGAUGUCUUCUUGAGACAUAGGUUGCUUUAAGAUUUCAAGUUUAAAUUCAAUAACAAAUAUGUGUUUGACCACUUCUUUUCUGAUAUGUGAUUAGGAUUAGAUAUAAAUUCUGUUUUCUUUGGUUGCUUUUAAAAUUCCAAAUUUCUGUUACUUUGAUCAUUCACCUUGGCAAAUUUGGUUCAUUAUAGGUUCUAUGUUUUUCUCUUUCAUUCAGAUGAGUAUCCAAUUAAAGUUUCUUUCUAUUGCUUGUUUUUGAAUAGGUAGCGGUAGAUUUUAGAUUCUGUUAUGUUUGGGUUCUUUGCUUGCAUUAGUGUAUCAUUUUAGGAUAAAAGUCAUGCAUUACUUUCCUUUCUAUUCAUUUACUCAUUCAUGCAUCAUUCAUUAAAUUUCUUCCUUAUCAAUGCAUCUCUAUUCUUUAUAUAGUUUCUGUUUUCAUCUCAUUAUCUUGCAUUCAUUUAGAUUUAGUAGAUGUAUGCAUUAUUAGUUUUUUUUUUUUUUAUAUUAGGUUUCAUUUUACAUUUCACUUUCCCCACCUAGUUUUAGUUUUAGUAAAUAAAUAAAUAGGUUUUAAUUCUAUAUUUUCUAAACUUAACAAGUACCAAGUUCACGGAUUAUAUCCUAGGCGAUAAAAAUUCUUUCAACAAAUGGCGCCGUUGUCGGGGACUUUGGCGACUUAAGUUUCAGAUUGUAGAGUUAGCCUUGUAGUUUUCUAAUUUUCUUUUUUGUGUGUAUAGCAUUAGCUUCUGAAUUUAAAAAAAAAAAUAUUUGUAAAUAGUGGUUUCUUUGCAUGUUAUGGUUUUGCGUGUUGGUAUAAUCUCUGCUUGAAGUGUAGUCCAGGUUGAAAACAGGUUUUGCAACAGACAUCAGAAUUGAAGAGAUGAUUGGUUCUCAGGACUGGCUAUACAAGCUGAUUAAGAGAACACCCAAGUUCCAUGGGUUAGCACAUUAAGACCUACACAAGCACAUCAAAGAGUUUAGCUGGGUGUGCUCCUCCAUGAAGCCUGCUGGAGUUCCAGAGGAAGCAGUGAUGGUGAAGACAUUUUGAAUGUCUCUGCAAGGUGCAGCAAGAGACUGGUUCAUAUAUCAACAGUACCAUCUUGAUAGCUGGCAGGAGAUGCAGCAGAGGUUCCUCAACAAGUACUUUCCAGUAGCUAAAGGAGUUAACCUCAGGAGGGAGAUCACUGCUAUUGCCCAGUCUCAAGAAGAGGGUCUGGCUAAAUACUGGGAGAGGUUCAAAGUGAUUUGUACAGCUUGCCCCAACCACCAGAUUUCAGAGCCCAGACUUCUAUUCUACUUUUAUGAGGACCUAAUCUACAAAGACAAGGUGUUGGUUGAUGCAGCAGCUGGAGGCUCUCUGCUGGACAAGACCCCAACUGAGGUAAGAAAGUUGUUGUGCAAGCUAGCGGGAAAUGAUCCUAAUGAUGCAACUGUGAAUCAAGAAAACAGGUUUUCUCUGAACUGAAUAUUCCAAUUAAUAUUGAUAAGGUUCAACAUCAUUUUAAUGCUUUUGAUCUGUUUAAAGUUGAAGCCAUAGAACCUGUUUUGGAUCUUAUUCCUGUUAUGCAUUUGCAUAGUCUUGAUUCAGCAUUUGACAUAGAACACAUUGAUAUAUCUAUUGUUGUUUCAGAUUUAUGGACUGAUUUUGACACUGUUUCAAUUGAUGAUAGUCUUUCAACGUGUGGAGAUGCAAUCUCUGAGUUUGUGUAUACUGGUGAGAUUGUUUUUGAUGAACCAGUACAGAUUGACUUUGACUUUAAUCCUACCACUAGUUUAUUUGAAAUUCCUUCUGCCUUCAAUAUCUUGCAUGCAUUGCCUGUUAUACAUGCUGAUUCUAUUCAUUCUAAAUUGCUAGAGGAUAUUUUUGUUGUGAAUCAAUUGAAUGCACCUGCUUUUAUGAGUGCUCUGAUUUUAAUGAAGUGAUUUCUGAUGAUCUGUUUGAUAAUAUGCUGGGUGAUUUUGAUUUCAAUCUUGACAAAGUUGCACUAUUUGAUGAUUCACCCAUGGACUUUGGUUUGGCAGUUGAUACACUUGUUGCAGACACUAAUUUCAAGGGAAAUGCAGAGACAAAGGAAGUCUUGGUGGAGGCAGGGGAUGGUCUCAAUGAGACUCAAGGACCCUCGAACGUACAGAAUCAGCCAGAGUUGAAUGGAGAGUUGGGGUUGCUGCAAUGGAGAGCUGAGAAGAAUGAAUUCAGUGCAAUCCUGGAAAAUCUGCAUAGAGGAGCCAAACACAAGAAACCAAAAACAAUAAGCUCUUUCUUGUCCUUUCUUUUAAAUAGUAGUUAUAGGUCUUUUAUAGUAACUAGUAUAGUAAUAGGCAGUGUAGACAAUAAUAUGAUAGAAAAUAUGAUGUUCUAUAUAAAAAUUAAAAAGAUCGAUUUUGAUGUGUGACCCAUUUGAACAAGUUUUCCUUUUCUUUUAGCGUUAUAAUUUUAGUUUUUGUAUUUUUCAGUUUAUGUUUUGUACAUUUCUUGUCAGUUUGUGUUCUUUCUCAACUUUGUUUUGUAUAAAUCUGUUCUGUCUAUCUUGUACAUUCCUGUGGUUGUUCUGUGUUGUUAAAAAAAACCUUACUCACACAUUGAGGGCAAUGUGCCUCUUAAGUGUGGGGUUGAGAAGGUAUAGAUGUAAAUACUUGUUUUUACUUUAAUGUGCAUAUGUUAGUAUGAGUUUUGUAGUGAAAAUAGGAGUAAAUUUUUUUUUCUUUCUAAGUUGAUUUUCUUUUUAGUUUAGGACUAGUUGAGUUUGUAAAUAUUUAGUUCAUAGAUAGUGUAAAUAGCCAUUCGUGUUUCAGGUUGUAAAUAAUUGUUUUUAGCAUGUAAAUACCCAGUUUUUUUUUAUGCUGUUAAAAUCUGUUUUAGUUUUUGUAGAUAGGCAUUUGUUUCAGUUUUUUUCCCUUAUAGGUUCUGUUUUUAAUUUCUGAGUCCUGUUCUGGUUUUUAGUAAUUUUCUAGGAUCUCUUCCAUUCAUUGUCAUUGUUUAGGAUCUUCUUAGGUCUUCUUUUGAUGUUUUCAUUAGUAUGUCUGUUUUAGUUUAGUUUAGGUUCUUCUAAGUUGCAUAUUGUUUUGUUUAGGUUUGGUUCAGAUUGUAUAUAGAGUUAGUAAAUCUGUUAGGCAUGUUUUUAGGUUCUUGUAGGUUCUGUUUGACAUGUUUUUUUUUUUUUUCAAUUCUUUGCUGAUUUACUUCAUUUCUUAGCUUCAUAUCUUUUGUUUAGAAUUGUUCAUAUAGUUUUCUGCUUUAAAUUCAAAUAGAAGUAGUCUUAGCAUUAUUUUUGCAUCUAAGUAUAGCUAAUGAAGCAAUUUUUUCAUAAAAGAGAGUAGCAAGUCACUUUUAGCAUUUCUUAACCUGGAGAGAUUUUGGGCCUGAUUUUUUUUUUCUUUCUAGUGUGAUUUCAUGUAUGUUUGACUUUUGAUUUUGAUUUUGCAUUGAUUCUUUGUGAAAAGCUUGCUCGUAAACUUUAGACAUGAUUUAGGCGUUCUUUUUCUUCAUCCAUAGCCACUUAGCUUAACCAUUUCAGUUUUAUCUAUUGUACCUUUCUUUUGAGCUGUAGCCUACUAUUCUUUGUCUCCAUUCAUUACAAGCCUUUUUUCCCCAGUACAUACCCGACCUGUAAAGACUUGUGAGAAUUAGGGGGAGCAAUAGAAAAGGCCAGAAGUGAAAGAAAAGAAAAAUAAGAUGAACAAUCUGGUUGUGUUGAAAAAAAAAAAAAAAAAGAAAAGAGCAGGUCUGGAAAAAAAAAAAAGAAAAAUGCAAAAGAAUUGAAAGAUAGGACCUGGCAGAAUUGAAAACCAGAGAAAGAAAGAAAAGAUUGGAUUGGCCUAAGUUAGACUUAAACAAAAAGUGUACUGAGUUCUAGGUUCCUUACUUUUCUUCACACUUUCUACUUCCAUAUAACCUUGUGUUUUCUAACCCUUCAUACCAUUACAUUAUAAGCCAAUAAAGUCCUUUUGAUCUAGAUGAAACCAAAGAGCUUAGCAUGGUCACUUAGAGUCUUUUCAAAGUUAAGAAUUGAGGUUGACAUGUCAUGCUUGAGUGAAACAGGACAGCCCUAAACACAUGAGUGAAAAUGAGUGCAAACACUUGUUCUUGUGAGGCUGAAACUGAUUUCUACUUUUCUGAUUGUGUUCAUUGCUGAAAUUGGCUGAAUUUGGUUGUUUAUUACUUGCUGGAUUUCUGUCACUGAGAUUUAAAGUUUAGAAAUAUAAUUGUGCAGUUCUGAUUGAAAAAGUGACUGGAAAUGAUUGAAACUGGCAGGAAUGAUUGAGUUGUGAAUGAGUCUUAUUGUUUUUGAGUUUUUGUUUUGAGUCUUUUCAUUUUGUAAAUUGAGUCUUUGUUUCCAUUUUAGUUUUUCCUAUUCAGGAGAGCAGUUCUCUAAGUAUGGGGUGUGAUAACUUCUAAAUUUCCUCCAUUUUUGUGUGAUAAUAAUAUGUUUUUAAGACAUUUUAGUUUUUAAUUCAUUAGAAAUAGUAUAGUUUAGUAUAAAUAGGAUAAAAAUAGGCUGUAAAUAGAAAUAGUGUUAAUUUUUCCUUUUUAAUUAAAUAAAAUAGUUUUUUUAAUAAUUAGGAAUUUUAUCUUUCAGAAAAAAUAUUAAGAAAGAUAAAUAAAAAAUUCUUUUUGCUUUUAUAGGCUUUUAAUCUUUCUUUUGUUUAAUUUUUUUAACUCUUUCUUUUUUCAGGAUAGCCCAGGUCAAAGGGUCAAAAAAUCUGGUCAAAAUAAGAUUGGGCUGAAGUGGGUAAAGCUGUCAAUGGCUGAUGAUACCUGGGCUGAAUUGAGAAUGGUCCAUUAUGAAGCUGGAAGUGCAACGUUUUGGGCUGAAGCUUAAUGACGCUACGCGUUUUAAGUGGAGAAAAAGGGCGUUGAAGCCUGCACCUCCCCUCCUUGGACCUCCACCUCCCCAUCCCAUUUUUAUCCUUUCUUUUUUUAUUUAUAAUUUUAAUAAUUAUUUAUAUUCCUAUUAUAUCCUUUAAUAAAAUCUAAUUUAUAGAUUAAUUUUAAUUUUAAUAUCUACAAAUAAACCUAACUUUUUUCUUUUCUCGAUUUACUCUCUGGUUUUUUCUCUUUCAUUUGGUUUUUCAAAUUCUUUUUGUUCUCUUUUCUUUGGGUGUCACAAAUUUUGUUCACUGUGUGAAAAUUUUCUUCUCAGAAUCGUUGGCAAUUUUUCUUCUCUUUCCAUGUUAUGACAUGUAUGUGAAAGGACUUUGACACCUAACUCAAUGUGUAAAUAUGUGUAAAUCAAUCAACUUUAGGCUGUCGAAGGAGAGUUGGACAAUGGAAACACUGUGAAAGAUCAUUGUCUGACAUGAAUUUGUCCAACAAAUGUUUAUCAGGCCCUAAACGUAUGUCGACAUCCGUCUGGCCCUGAAACGGAUGUUCAUAUCCGUCGACGAAUGUCCGACCUCCGUUAAUGACGGUCUUCUUCCUGUUGCGCGCAAACAAACCUCUACCAGAAACACAACACAAAACGAAACGAAGGGCGCACAAACAGAGCAAAAUGAAUACAAUCUAAAACCCUAAAUCACAUACAUUUAUAAACCAAGAAAUGAACACAAUGCGAAACGAAAACUAACCUCUCGACAGAAACGAAACGAAGCGCCGCACCACCGCCACACCACGCUGCACCGUCGCCGCUGCACCGCCGCACACACGCAGGCAAUGACGCAAGUACAGAUAGAUCGGAAAGGUUGAAACUUUUAAAAAAUCAAAGUGGAGCUUGGGGGGUGUGUGAAUGGGAAGGGAAGGGGAGGUGGAGAUGUUUUCGAAAAGUUUCGAAAGUGUGAGUGUGAAAGUGAAAAGUCUGUGAGUGAGUGUGAAAGUGAAAGGGUAAAGUGAAAAUUAAGACUAUUUAAUUAAGAGGGUUAAAAAAGUAAAAAUAAUAAAUUUAAAAGGUUAAUUUUGUAAUUAAUGAAAAGUUAAAAAAAAAUGGGGAGGUGUAGGUUUGAAAUGGGGAGGUGGAGGCAUCAAUGCCCGGAGAAAAAAAGGGGUGUUGAUCCCUCCACCUCCCCAUUUGUUACCUCUACCUUCCCAACUUUUUGAAUUUUAUUUUAAUUACAAAAUAAUUAUUUUUCUUCCUUUUUUAACCUUCUAUUUUUUUAACUAUUAACUUUCUUUUACAUUUGUUCCCUCCACCUCUCCCAUUAAAUUUUUACUUUUUAAUUACUGUUUACUUUUAUUCUAUUCAAAACUCCACCUCCAAAAUUUUUGAAUUUUUAAGAUCCGUUUUUCUUCUCCCAGUCACACUCUUCUCUUGGUUAUUUUUGGUCCAAAUUCUAAUAUUUAAAUUAACAAAGACAAAUUCUGACAAUCAAAAUACUUUUAUCUUGGUAAAAAUAAAUAUAUUAAUUAACUUUUCUAAUUUAUUAUAUUAUAUAUGAAUUGAAUUUCAAUAUUUUUAGUAUUGAAGUACAAAAUGAGUGUUUACUGUGCUGCAAUAUACUUGCUUUCCCUCUCACUCUAAGCUUCCACUUGCUCCAUCAAUGAAGUCACCAAUAAGCUUCAGUUUCAGACACGGGUCAACUAGGGUGCGCGAAGCAAACUCAGUGCCGAGUUUAUCUCCCAUGACUCACCGGCACCCACCAUCAAACUAUGCUUUUGUGGAAGAAGACCCUUCAUUGAAGCUGCAACAUUGGGAGUUUACCUUGUUUCCUGUUCAAUCUUCCGUAGCCACAAACUCAUAUUAUGAUUACACGGUAUUUGGUCUUUUGCCACCCAGAUAGCAGAAACAUAAAAUAUUAGAACUUGGGUUCAAAUUCUAGCGAAAGAUUAAGCUUUUUUUGACAUAAUUUGAAAAGAAGAGAUUUUUUUUUUAAUUUUGCUUUGUUUUUGUUUUUGUUUUUGUAGGCUAUGAAAGAGGUGGGAGGAGAAAAAAGAAUCUUAAAUUUGAGGAACGGAUCUCAAAAGUUUGGGGGGUGGGAGGUUUUGAAUAGAAUAAAAGAGAAGAAAAACGAAUCUCAGAUUUAAGGAACGGAUCUCAAAAGUUUGGGGGUUGGAGGUUUUGAAUAGAGUAAAAGUGAAGUAGGGUUAAGUUAAGGGUAAAAUAAUAUUAAAAUUAAAAAAAGUAAAAAGGUUAAAAAAGUAAAAAAAAAAAAUAAUUUGUAAUUAAAAUAAAAUUCAAAAAGAUUGGGGAGGUGGAGGAAACAAAUGGGGAGGUGGAGGAAUCAACACCCGGAGACGCUGCUGUUGUGCACAAACCAAGUCAGGAAUUGGACCAGCGCUGUUGAAAGAGUGGGCUGAAAGGAAUGGGCUGAAGCUGAGUCUUGGUGAUUUAAUGAAACGCAACGUUUUGGUGCGCACCAGCUGCAGCUGCUUGAGGGGUCUUGCAUCUCUGAUAACUCUCAGAUUUUACACUUUAAUUUGUGCUUAAGAGUCCUUGUUAGUGAAUUUUUGUUUUUAAUUGUUUAGAAUUAAGCUAGUUUUAGGUUUUUUCUUGAAUUCUUUAGUUUUGUAUAAUUUUAGUUAAAAUUAGAUUUUUAG
This 56089-nucleotide long non-coding RNA is filed under the name Vigna radiata. RNAcentral describes it as "long non-coding RNA (VRAD_LNC009073)". The record is from RNAcentral. Lineage: Eukaryota; Viridiplantae; Streptophyta; Magnoliopsida; Fabales; Fabaceae.